This 66048-nucleotide long non-coding RNA is filed under the name Triticum aestivum (bread wheat). Its description in RNAcentral is "long non-coding RNA (TAES_LNC023938)". The record is from RNAcentral. Lineage: Eukaryota; Viridiplantae; Streptophyta; Magnoliopsida; Poales; Poaceae.
GCAAGGAAGACAAGGAUUGUGCGUGCUUGUGCUGUGUGUACAUCUUCGGCGUGCUGCUCUUCUUUGCUGUCAUGAUUCUGCUGACGUCCAAGCCAUGGAAUCGAGGCUAGAGAGCAUCAACGUACCAGGAUGAUCUCUGGAGCAUGCACUUCCUUGGAACUAAUGACCUACCAGGUUGUUUCCUCUAGUAGUAGUACUAUUGCUGGGAAGAAGAACUGGUACCGUCUAGAGUGGUGUGUAGACUGAUCAUUGUGAUAAGCCGAGUAAGAUUUCAGUUUAUGUGACGCCUAGUACUGCAGUCUUUGAGUUUGAGGGUGUGCAAAACUUGAGGGAGAUCUAUAUAUUAGCGCAACUUCACUGAAGAUUGCAAAAAUUUGGGUCAACUAUUUACAAGUAGUUCAGUGUGAUCGAUCCAGAGGACCACCAUGCUGUACCGGAUCAUUCACGCACGGUGCAGCCAGCAUACGUGGAGGCCGCCCGGCCGGCUGUUGCUCUGCAUAAUUGCGUUGCCAUUUCGGAGUCUGCCCGCUUUUUUAUGAGAGAGCGAGAGUGCUGCCAUUUUCGUGUGCUUUAACUCCGUGUACUUUUUCAGCUUACACGGAACCGGAGCCAAGAGAGCGCGUGCACUUCUCCAUCUUCAUCUCUUUGCGUAGGGGUAACACAUGCAGAAUCAUCCGGCCGUCCAGGUGAACAAUGUGGGCGGAAAUCUUCGGGGCGGCCAGCCCCACAACGUGGCCAAUCCUCCCGCAGGCCAACCGCGAGGUGGACGCCAAUGCUCCGGCCGUCGACACAUCACACAUAUGACAUAUCCCAUUGCCCCUAGUGGAUUCUAAAUUUCGGUUGUUUACUAAAUGGAUUUGAGGCAGAACUCCUGGUGAAAAUGACGCCAUUUACGGCAGGAAGUUUCAUAGAGAAGAGCAUCUUCACUCGCUUGCGGGUACCCAGUAGGAUCAUUAGCAGCACCGGGUCCUAAUUCACAAGUCAUGUGUUUCAAGACUUUUGUGAGGACUAUGGAACAAAAAUAUGUUCAACUCGAUCGGCCAUACCAUAGUAACGAACAUGCAAAAUACGCGAGCGAAAUCAUACUCUAGGGUAUCAAAAAGCGUUCAGUAUCGGAUAGAAUACAUAGAAUAGGAAGGAUGUUGGUCAUCUAACUACUGGCAGUCUUAUGGGCAGCAAGAACUCAAAUGAGACGUGCCAUAGAAAAAAAUCCUAUUUAUUUUAAGCCCCCUCCCCCGUGACGAGGACAUCCCUACCAAUAUUACAAUCAUGGCCCUGUUGCUACACAACUUGGGCCAAUUACUAUAGCUCAUGCACGUCAAUUAAAAUACCCGGUACUUUCGUUUCUUGAAACUACUUCUAAUGCUCACAAGAACAUGAUGCUACCAAAACUAGAUAGUUGUGUAUUGCUUAAGAAUGAAGGGUCUAGCAUGCAUGGAUAGAAGGAAUGAGCACUGUGGCAUGAUCAAGCAUGGAGAUGAUGGCAAGCACGAUGAAAAAAAGAUGAAUGCCAUUGAUCAGAAUUCGAGUCGAGGCUGCUGAGAGAAUCGAUGCGAUGCAGUAUUCAUCUUGCGUCAACAUUGGAAUUGGAUAGACAUUGUCACUUCUGGUUCAGUACACCCUCUUAAACACAUCGACGAGUGAGAUUACUCCAUACCCCUUCAAAAUAAAGGGUAGAUUGAUCUUUUUUUAAAGUAUGCCGUCCGCUACACUGGACCUCGUAUACGAAUUGCACAGGUGCAAGCGUCGGGCUGGCCCAUCAAGGCAUGUCCCUCCUACCACGUCUAUGUAAGCCACAUAAAAAUAGAGAGAAAAAGUAGAACUCAUCAGGACUCAAACAUGAGACCUCACACUUAAGGUGUGUGCUGCUAGCCACUUCACCUCAAUGCUGCUUGUGGUUUUCUACACCGCGAAAUAUGUAAGAAUACACAACAACGUUCAUAUUUAUGAAAACAUUGCUGAAAAAACUAUAACUUUUAUUGAAAAAAGCGAAAAAAAUCAAAUGCCAUUUUUUUUUCAAAUUACGAUUUUGUAAACACAAACAUUUUCUGAAAUUAGAACAAAAUUUAAAACAUGAACAUUUUUUAAAAUUUCCGAACAUCUUUCCAAACAUGAACAAUUUCUGAACAUCUUCUGAAACAUGAAUUAUUUUUAAAAUUUGUGGCCUUUUUUUGGUUUUUGGUGCCCCGUAUUCCUUUUGUUUUUUCAUUUUCUCUUUCUUUUCUUUUUUACUUUAUUUUAUUUUUUUAAAUUCAUGAAUCCUAAAUAACUUGGCAUGGUGUCUUUAAUUGGUCAUACAAAGUCAUGAUAAAAAAUUGGGAUCAUUUCAAGGAUGUCGAGAAACAACAUGCUCCCAGGCGAAGCCUUCUGGUCUACCCGAACACCCCUCCGUUGAAUAUGGUCUAGUUUUGGACAUUCUUGAAAUAAAUCCAACUUUUGCAGAAAGGUGGGCACGCCCAUAGUAGGUAUCCAUGUCAGGUUUGAACUAAUUUUGAGACCGUAUACAAGUUGUGACACGUUUGGUCAUUUAUCAGCAUUUUUUGGACCGAGAAUACUCCAGAAAAUGCAGAAUUUGUCAAAAGUCAAAACAACAUGCCAUUGUGCCUUGAAUUCGUCAUACAAGGCCAUUAAAAGAAUUGAGGUCAUUUCAAGGAUGUCGAGAAACAACAAGCUCUGAAACUGAGCCUUCUGGCCUACCAGACACCGUGCGUUGAACAUGGUCUAGUUUUGGACAUCCUUCAAAUGACCCCAACUUUUGCAAGAAGGUAGGCAUGCCCAUGGUAGGCAUCCGUGUCAGGUUUGAACAAUGUCCGACAUUGUAUGCAUGUUGCGACACAUUUGGCCAUUUAUUGGCCUUUUUGGACCGAAAAAACUCCAAAAAUGCAGAAUUAGGCAAAUACUAAAAACAACUUCGUAUGAUGCCUUGAAAAAAUUUGGGGUCAUUUGACAGAUGCCAAAAAACGUGCUUUUAACUAGGACAAUGGACCGGCUCAGUCGGGUGGACUCUUGUGAAAAAAUUAUUUAAUUCGUGAACUUUUUAUCAAAUUUGAGAAAUAAAUUCAGAUUGAUGAACUUUUUAUCAAAUACAUGAUUUUUUCCAAAUUGAUGAACGUUUUUUCUCCUUGGAGUUAGGGGUGGGCAUAAAAGCCGACAAAUCGAAGACCAAACCGAUAUCAAAACCAAAAUUUAUGCCACAUGUAGCGACCAUCGCGCGCAUGCGGCCUGCACGUCAAUUCCAUGGGCCAAGCUGAUCACUUGCAUGCAACGCAUAAGCUUGUUUUGGGCUUUUCUUCAACCUGCAUGUACGUGCCUGUAGGCGGCAUACUGUGUCGAUCGUGGUUUUAUUCCCACCUCGUCUGGCUACACGGAAGGAGAUAGAAAGUAAGGGUCGGCAUAUUAACCGAAAACCGAUGUACCGAAACCGAAACCAAAUGGAUGGGAACCAACAAUUUCAAUGUAUAUUUUGGUCAUUAAAUCUAUAGAACCAAAAUUUAUUAUGUAAAUUUGGUUUUUACACUUGAUUAAGUGAAAAUACCUAGAAAACUUAAAAUAAAUAUUAUUUAAAAAAAUCCCAGCAGCAUUGUAUAAAUGNNNNNNNNNNNNNNNNNNNNNNNNNNNNNNNNNNNNNNNNNNNNNNNNNNNNNNNNNNNNNNNNNNNNNNNNNNNNNNNNNNNNNNNNNNNNNNNNNNNNNNNNNNNNNNNNNNNNNNNNNNNNNNNNNNNNNNNNNNNNNNNNNNNNNNNNNNNNNNNNNNNNNNNNNNNNNNNNNNNNNNNNNNNNNNNNCAGACCAGCUUGCCCAGCUGCCCAACACACCUGUCUAAGCCUUUCUGUCCUUUCCUUAUCUUAGUUUUUUCCUCACCAACAUGUUUUUGUUUAGUACCACCUUGGAUUGCUCUUGAGGAAAGAAGCAUGUGAAAGACUAUAAAGGCAGCUGCUACCCAUCAAAUUCGUUUGAACGUGCCCGUACCAAAACAUGUGGCAUAAAGCAAGUUUGCCUAAACUUCGGUUUUGUUCGGUCAGAACCUACCCGUACCAAAUUGGUUUUCUAAUUGUAUAGAAACCGAUUGGUUUGUAUUUUUAUAAAACCAAAUUUUGUUGUGACCUGAAAAACCGGACCGAUCAGGGCUAAAAAAAUCAUGAAUUUGGUAAAAGUUUAUGAAAUUUAAAAAAUCAUUCAUUUGAAAAAAGUUCACGGAUUCACAAAAAAUAAGUUUCACGGAUUUUAAAAAAUCAUGAAAUUAAGAAAAUGUUCACAAAUUUAAGCAAAUGAAAAAAAUAAAAAAUAAGAAGAAAUAAAGUAAAAUUAAAAAUAUUAAAAUCAAAGAACAAAAGGACAAACAGAACCAAAAAAUAAAAUCAAACUAAAAAAUGCACAACAAGAACAAUAAAAGAAGUAACUAGGCACAACAAGUGAGUAGUCCCAGUUGGUUAUAGCGGAUGGAAGUAAAACCAAGAGGUUGAGAGCUUGAAUCCUACCUCACGCACCUAUUUUGUGAUGGUUAAAGAACGAAAAGAUAAAUAAAUGGGCUAUGCCCGCGAUGGAGUAAAAAAAGAAAAAGGAACAAGAAAAGAAAAACCGGAGUGAAAACCGAUGGAAAAACCGGCCAAACAAAAAAAAACAGAGUCCGGGAGGCAUAGAAAAUAAGAAGAAAAAGAAGUAUUACUACACAUAUCAGGUGAGCUGGCUGAGUUGGUUGCUUUGUUUCAAGUGAAGAGAGGUUCCGAGUUCAAAUCUCAUCACCAGCGGCAUUUUGAAAAUGCACUAUGGUAAAAUGACCAUACUGCUCUUAUACGGUUUGUGUGGAGGGUGUACCAAAGCAAGGCUCAGACAUUGUUUCUUUCUUUGUUUUAUUUUGCCCCUGUUAGUACAUAUUUACUUUCAGUUAUAUAAGAAAAUGCCGUAGAAUGAUUGUUCUAGAAUUGCGGUUCCAAAAGAAAAGAAAAAACUCCAAUCUUCACCCGUUAAUCUACCAAUUCUUUCACGAGCCAGAGAAGCCAGUCACAGGAACAUGGUGUUGGAGCAAAUCGUGGAGAUAGAUGUUGCAACGUGCAGGCUGCUGUUGGAUUGCAAUAUCUUUAGUGUGUGCGUGACCAUACUGCUCUUAUACGGUUUGUGUGGAGGGUGUACCAAAGCAAGGCUCAGACAUUGUUUCUUUCUUUGUUUUAUUUUGCCCCUGUUAGUACAUAUUUACUUUCAGUUAUAUAAGAAAAUGCCGUAGAAUGAUUGUUCUAGAAUUGCGGUUCCAAAAGAAAAGAAAAAACUCCAAUCUUCACCCGUUAAUCUACCAAUUCUUUCACGAGCCAGAGAAGCCAGUCACAGGAACAUGGUGUUGGAGCAAAUCGUGGAGAUAGAUGUUGCAACGUGCAGGCUGCUGUUGGAUUGCAAUAUCUUUAGUGUGUGCGUGCUUUAUACGAGUGAUAGAUAGUGCAGCAUUUUUUUGAGCUUGGGUUUCACGUGAUGUCGUCAAGGGGAAGUCACCCUCUGGCCACACCUAGUCCACAGUUCACACUUCACAGCUACCGCCGCUUUUACAUUUUCCCGGAACAGGUGCCUGCUCGGGGCCGUCCUACGGGAGCCUUUGCUACGCCCUAAACGAGCAACGAAUUAUUCUGCUCGGUUGGCUGGCCAAAGCGCUCGUCUCUCACCGCCUACUAGCUAUACCAGUACUUGGCUCAUCCAUCGCUGGCCAAAGAAAGAGCUCAUCUCUCCCCGGCACACACCACACAGACGCUUCUCCGUCUCUAAAAACCCUCUCUUCACGGGCACGCCAUGGACAAUCCUCCGGCCGGCAACGUGGUCAAUCCUCCGGCAGCUGCGGCGGCGGGCAACAACGUGGCCGAUCCUCCUCCUCCUCCGGCGGCGGCAGCAGCAGCAGACAUCGUAGCCGAUCCUCCUCCGGCGGCGGCGGCGGCAGCAGCAGCAAACAACGUGGCCAAUCCUCCAGCGGCGGCGGUAAUGUGAUUCACAAGAUCAUUUCUGUCGACAUAGAUCGAUGCUGCUUCUUUCCUUACUUAAUUGUGCUUUGUUUUCUCUACCCUACCGGUAAUAAAUCAGUCAAGUUAGCCGUUCGUGGCGAUUGCUUUUGUGGAAUUAGGGCGUUUGGACAUUUGGUUCAAGCCAAAGCCUACAGGGCCAGUUCAAGUUCCUUACGUACGUACGCCUUCUUGGUGUACAUCGCCGGCAAUAUUUUGCUGUGAUGAUUCUGCUGUUGCAGAAGCCAUGGAAUCGGGAGUAGAUACUUGAACCGUACCUGACUGACGGGCUCUGCAGACAUGCAUCUUUCCUUGGAACUAGUGACCUACCUAGCUAGGUGGUUUUCUCCGGUAGUAGCACUAGUGUGUCCGAGAUCGGGCGAUCUGUUCGUGUGCUCAGUCAAGCAGAAAAUGCUGGGGGAAGAACAGUCUUUGUGCCCUCUAGAGUAUGUGUAGAUUGAUCGUUGAAAUUUUAUUUAAUUUUAUUUGGCGGGGGAGAUUGAUCCUUGUAAUAAACCGAGUAGGAUUUCAGUCUAGUGUCAUCUAGUAUUGCACCUUUGAGGGAGUGCAAAACUUGAGUGAAAUAUCCGCGCAACUUCACUGAAGCUUGCAGAAUUUUGGGUCACACUGUCACAGGAGCGCAACUUUAUUGAGAGACGCUGCAGCCAACGUGCAUUGCAUAAUUGCGUUGCCAUUUCGGGGUCUGCCGCCUUUUCUUAUAAGAGAGCUGGAGUGGUGCCAUUUCCGUGUGCUUUUUAGACUUACACGGAACAGCCGGUGACCCCACUACUUAAUCUCUCCAUUCACAAAGAUAAGAUGUCUUGAAUAUUUCUAUGGCUUGAAAUGAGUGAACAAACACGUUAAAAUGUUACAAUAUCUUAUAUUCGUGAACGAAUGGAGUAUCAGUUUUUGCAUUUUUAUUUGUAAGCUGGCCGCUCGGGUGAAUAGAGUAUUGUCUUAGGAGUGUGGUUUUUGUACACCGAGGCAGGAUUACUCAAAGACCAUGCUUGAUGACAGCACCGUCUAAGGGAAAGUUGUUUGAGAUGUUUUUGCUUCCUUCGACGAUGUUUGUAAAUUUUGAACCUAGUGAAUUAUUCAGUGAUGGUUGACCGGACCCCACAAGAUUUUUGGUAGGCCAGUGAAUAUAUAGAACCCUGACUGAAUUCCUGACAAACGAGCCAAGAUUAUAAUAAUUCUACCAAGGCGUCGUGACAAUGAAUGGUACGUAGACGUAGUGAGGCAUUUGAACUAGCCGCUUAUACUUUAAGCUGCUGAACUGCAGGGUCCUGCUGCAGUGGAUGCCCGGUGGAAGAAGGAGGACAAGACGCAUGCCAUCAUAAUUCUGGUCGCUGCGGCGAUCGCUCUGCUUCUUGUGGUGCUGUUGAUUAUCCAUCCGUGGAAGAAGUAGAGAAGACUAGUCAUUUGCCGGGUCAGGUUUCCGAUUGUAAGAUAGGAGUGCUAGAACGAAUAAAUUAAUCAUCCAUGUCAAACAAAAUGAACCUGGUAAUAUUGUGACGCGUCUUGGCCAACUUCAGGAGUGCAUUCAGCUCAAGUCCAAUGUUUGAACAAAGCUUGUAAAUUCCAGCAGUCAGAGUGUCCUUCCUCCAAGCUUGGGUACUAUGUCCACAUCACUACUAGGAAAAGGCUUAUUAGUGACGCACUACUGGUGCGCCACUAGUACCACGCCACUAGUAUUAAAUACUAAUGGCGCACCACUGGUGCGCCAUUACUAUCUGACUUACUAAUGGCGUACCACAUAGAAGUGCGCCAUUAGUAACAAAUUUUUUUCAAAUAUUUUUUCAGAAACUUUUUUUCAAAUUUUUUUUCAUUUUUUUCUUAAUCUCGGGUUACUAUGGCUUAAUCUUGGGUAAUAUGCUUAAUCUCAAGUCAAAUCGCACUAAGUGGUCAAACUUCCCGAAAGGUCACCCAUCCUCACACUACUCUAGCCCGAGCACGCUUAACUUCACAGUUCUACCCAACCCCAGCACCACCUCACUUAACAGACACUUGUUGAUAUAUCUACCAUAUCAAUCCUAUUAAACUUUGUUGAUGUCUAGGACUUUGUUCAUGUUCAUGAGUAUGAUGAAAUUUUGAAAAAUAUUUCAAACUUCCUGGUCAUAUUACGUAUCAUUUUUUGAAAAAAAAAUCCAAAAAAAAAUUCAACACCAAUUUUUUUUCUGUUACUAGUGGCGCAUCUAGCAAACGGUGCGCCACUAGUAAGUUUGAAAUUUUUUGAAUUUUUUUGCCUAUCUAGAUCUUGAAAGCUCCGUAACUUUUUUCUGUUAGGUUUUUGAGGAUUUUGAAAAUGUUUAACGGGGUUCCCCCGGUUAAAUUCGGAUGUAACUUUUCGAGUAGAUGAUUUUUCAUAUAAAAAACUUUUUAAUCCGAGUUCGUAUGCAAAAGUUAUGCCCAUUUUACAAAUUCCAGAGAGAUUUUGCAAAUAAAGUCGAAAUUCAUAUUUGUAAAUUUUCCCAACAACUAGACCACAUAUCACAUGGGAAACUUAUUUUCUUUUAUUUUUUUGACAUUUCCAUUAUUUUCUUUUAUUUUUUUAAACUGAAAAGGCGGUCCCAGGGAGGGGGUGCAUUCGGUGGAAUUUUUGGGUCAAGUUAGUAAUGGCGCACCGUGGGACUAGUAAUAGCGCACCACUCCCACGGUGCGCCAUUACUAGUUUUGAAAAAAAAAAUUGAAAAAAAUUUACUAGUAGCGCACCGUGGAUGUGGUGCGCCAUUACUAGUUUUGGAAAAAAAUAAAAAAAAUUGAAAAAAAUUACUAGUGGCGCACCGUGGAUGUGGUGCGCCAUUACUAGUUUAACUAGUAAUGGCGCACUAUCCCCUGGUGCGCCAUUACUAGUUUUGGAAAAAAAAUUGAAAAAAAAUACUAGUGGCACACCGUGGAUGUGGUGCGCCAUUACUAGUUAAACUAGUAAUGGCGCACUAUCCCUUGGUGCGCCAUUACUAGUUUUGAAAAAAAAAAUUGUUACUAGUGGCGCACCGUGGAUGUGGUGCGCCAUUAGUAUUUGGACACUAAUGACGCACCAACACAUGAUGCGCCAUUAGUAUAUAGUAGUGGCACACCACAUGUCUGGUGCGCCUGUCCAUAUCAUUUAUAACCCUUUUUCUAGUAGUGCAUCAAGCAGACCAUGGUAUCAAUAUGGCUCAGGCACAAGCCACCUGUAUUCACGAAUUUUACUGCUGUCUUGCGUUCAAAAAGCAAAAUCAUUUAGCUACUAUAUAAGCGUGUAAGCUACGAAUAUGUAAACUGUCAUUGUGCAAUGAGAAGGCAUCGAAGAGAUGAAGAUGAAAACCUAGUUUCCCUUUUGUUUUAGCUUCAUCGUGUAUCAUAGAAAUUCCUUAUUAAUCGGGUGUCGACGCAAGGAAUUCAUGGGUUGUGUAUACGAGAUAUACAUGUAACAUGUUCUAGAACAUGGGUUGUGUAUAUCAGAUCGCUCCCUCACCCUCCUAUCGCUCCAGGCUCCCUCGAUUGCCCCCUCCAGGGCGAUCAAGGGGGCAACCCUAGCGCCCCGGCCGCCGCACCCUCCCCCCUCUCCUCCACCUCAUCGUCCCCAGAGACGUGCGCCGGCUAAGCCCGGGUGCCGCCAGCGAUGGGGACGGUGGGGAUCUAGGCUGCAGCCCCGCGGUCUGGAGGGACCGGCGGCGCGAGAUCGUCCUUCGGUCUUCUUCUUUCUUGGCGGUUCGGUGUUGGUCCGGCGGCUUCGUGGGGAGGGCGGAUCAGGAGGGGAUGUGGCUAUGGUUGACUGGUCGGUGGCGCCUCCGAUCAGAUCUGAUCUGGCCGGUGCCGCUGGCGGUCGUGGCUAUCUCCUCCGUCGGAGGUGGUUGGCAUGAGGCUGGAUGGUUAGAUCUCGAGAUCCGCCAUCUAGUUCCGGCUGCGAGUCGGGAAGACAUAGCUGCCGGUGAAAACCGAGUCGAUGGCAGGCGAUGGCGGCGUUCUGCGUCGUUACCUUGAUGAAUGCAUCGUCGUGUAACUACUGUCGACCCACUCGUGCUGCAUCGGGGGAAACCCUAGGAUCUGGUCUUCUAGAUCCGACGAUGGCGGUACUGCGGUGUCGCUUUCUCUUUUGGGAGCAUCGUUUGCGGAGCAGAACUGAAAGACAGAGGCAGGAGGUGGAGCGGAUUCGUCUUGCACGGAUCUUUCGGUGGAGAUGUCAAGUCAUGCAUGGCCGACAGGGGCUACGCUGUGUCAUGCCUGGUCGGCAGGUGCUACUCACGAUAGAUCUUCCGGAAUCUUCGCGUCUAGAUGGACGAGCGCGGGGUGGUGGCGCCGUUGGGCGCCGUCGUGGCGUCGACGGAUGGACGGACUGGCAAGGAUGAUGCAGAUCUCUCUCCUGAAGAUGGGUCGACCGUUCGAUGAUGAUGGCGGCAUCUAAAACGUGUGCAUGUGGUGUACGCUUUAGGUCUGCUACACCAGCUAUGGGUUCCGAUACGUUAUGUGGAUGGAUCAGCGACGUCACCGGUUUUAGAUAUGAGGAGUGAGAGCACUCCACAUUAUCGAGUUUUGUAGGUGUGAGUGAUGGCUUCGGGUGGCUUGAUGUAUGUUCUUGAUAGACCUUUGUCAAAUAAUAAAUAAAGAUGGCCAUAUGCAUCGAUUGAUGCAGAGGCCAGAGAUCUUAACCUCCUUUUAAAAAAAAAGAACAUGCAUGUGAGGGUUGUCGAUCCACAAUAUACGAGGGUAUACUUAGUGGAUAAUGUAGGUACGGUGUGAUACAAACAUCUCGCCAACAAAUCUCGAAGUAAUGAAAUAGAUAGGGAUACCAGAUUUAUCUAGGUCCAGGACCACGAGUGGGUACAAUCCCUACUUCCUGCCUUUGUUGAUCUUCAUAUUAACUUCAAGAGAGAAUACAAAACAUACCCAAAACUGAUCUAAGGCUCUCAGCGUGACUGUCAAUGUAGAGCAAGCUCCUGGAAUCAAUACAAGGCUCUUGAUGCGAUUGUCAAUGUAGAGUCCGCCAAACCCUCAAGUCGAUCUUGAAGAACUUCAUGUAUAACUUCAACAAAUUGUGUGUAAGUUGUGAUUUUGCCUUGGACUCCAGGAUUAUCUUACAGAUGUGGAAUGGCUUGGCCUCCAAGUUGGAUCAAACCAAACAUGACUCCAUGUUUGUCAUGACUAGAAAAAGAGACAUCCUUAGUCCAUGCGACUCUAGACUCCUUCGCAAUGUGUUUCAAAUUUGUUUCUCCUUCUCUAUCUUGUUUUCCUCGAGAUAAAAAAAAUUGGAGCGUCUCCUGGCCAUGAAUACGGAUACAUAUUUUGUAUGUAUUUACGUAUAUGUUGGCAUAUUUUUCGACGAGAAAGAUAUAAGAAUAGAACAAUUGACUUUGGCAAGAUGAGACGCGGGAUAUGAGAUCUUACACAUCUUCAGUCCCCCCACCCCCCGCGAGUAACAUUCCUAUGGCAUACAUUAUCUCGUGAACUCAGAUAUUACAACAAUGAAUUACAGAAAUUUUCUCUUGACUUCAACAAAGUAAAGAGCUUGGCCUUUCAUAAGGGCCUUUAGGUCCUUUAUAUAUAUAUAUAUAUAUAUAUAUGUGUGAUAUAUCUUAUCGGUCAAGGUUCUAACUUCUUCUCCAAGCAAGAUUUGUGUUUUCUAUCAUCAUACAAAUAAGGAUAGGUUAGCUAUACAUACUUCUCGACAAGCUCCUAGCAAUGCAUGAAAUGGGGUUUUAGCAGGUGGUUGUAGGUCAAACCAAGGAAAGACUCCCAACAUGUUUAAACCGCCAUCUUCUCCGGUAGUAGUAGAUAUCUUCUAUGCUUGAUGUUCGGCGUUCAAAGUAUUCACUUUGUCUUUGAGUUAGUUUUGUGUGAUGCUAAAGAGACCAUCAAAAUGUAUGAUAUUGUUGGUCACAUGGAGGAUUGCGGAAUCAAAGGUGUUGAAUACACGACUACAAAGUUUAUAUUUUCUUGUUGCUUUUAGGGAUUCUGGAAUUAGAGGUGAAAGUGCAAUUAUCGUCCAGAGGGGGGUGAAUGCGAGAUUUUUACAAAUUCGUCAAAGAAACUUGUUCUUGAUGAAUAACGGAGUGAUGAAAUACACAGCAGAAUGAAUGCUACGCGAUGUAUACAAUUCGGAAUGAAGACAAAGUCAUCAAGACAGAACUAAGCAUGCAUACUAUGUACCAGAAGAUGACAAACAUGUGAACAUACAGACAUACAAUUUUAAGUACGACGAACUAAAAGACUGAGAAAAGCAUCAAGUAGAAAGUCUUUAGGUCAAAGUUUUCAAAGGGGGAGAGUCAAAUUCUUCAACAGAGAAAUACUGAAAGUAAUGGGUUGAGGAAUUUGAACCAUGGUAGCUUGCUGAAGACAAUGGAUUUGUUUUACCAGUUUCAGUUGUUGUGACAACUGUACGUCUGGUUAGAGUUCUUGAGAUUUAACUCAGAAGACACUUAUUCUUCACCUUAGCCCCUUGAGCUAAGAUCACUUAGACCUCGCCCAAUCAUUCAUGGUAAGUCUUUAAGGUAGACCUCCAAAACCUUCGGAGACUUGUUCUAUGGCACUCCACAAAUUCUUCUUGGGUGCUCAGAACUUCAUGCUUAAUCGUCUGGAAGAUAAUAGUCUUCAAAGGUAACAUGCGUCAGAUCACACAGGACAAUCUCUUCAGUGAUGCUCAAUCACUUUAGGCUUUUGGGUGUUUGUGUUUUUUCCCACUUAGGAUUCUCUCAAGUUCAUUAGAGGAUGGGUUGCUCUAGUUGACACUUGUCAAACAUUCACUCAGAGCAGCUAACCAACAAAUUGUUGUGGGGGCGACUAUUUAUAGCCCGAGCAACCCGACAUGAUAAGACCAUCAUGCCCUUCGGCCACGACCGUCGUCAGGAUAAGGAUCCACUUGACAGCUGGCACUCGUGCAACAACAGUCGGAAAUUUGAACUCUCAAAUUCCUCGCGGUGGGAGAGUCGCACUAGCAAAAUCCUAACUCUUCAGUCUGACCAAUUUCGUCAUCGACCAGAAGAACUAAGUCUCUGCCGCUGAAGAACUCGACUGCACUGCAAGAGAUAAGUAGUCAUAGGUUUGAGCAUCACUUCGGAACGCCUAUGUAUCACCUAGACCCCUUUUAAUAGUUUGAUGUUUUCUAUGACUCAAAUAAAGAAGAAAGAAACUACGAAAACAAAGUCUUCAAACUUCCAAUGCUUCACUUUAAUUUCUUCAAAGGCGCACUAAUUUGUUCAGUGUAAACAUACAUCAUUUUUGGGGGUCGUCUUUUAUGGUUAAACCAAAUCUUCAGGGACUUUAUCUUAUGUGUAUAUUCACAAACACAUUAGUCCCUUAACCCAUUUGCCUUCAAUACUCUAAAACCACAAAGGGGAAACUAGAUGCACUUACAGUUUCCCCAUUUUUGGUGAUUGAUGACAAAAUGGUUAAGUUUUGAACGAGGAUAAAUAUUAUGUUGUGAAGUAAAGGUAUAAAGAUUUUGAUAUCAAGAUAUAUAAGAACUCCCCCUGAAGACGUCCAUAUGAAGAAUUACCUUUGGACUUGUAGGAUCGAAAGUAUGUCUAGUGGGGGGGGGUGAUUAGACUACUUGACCAAAUAAAAAUCUAUCAUUUUCCCAAUUUUAGUUGUGGGCAGAUUUUAGCAAUUAUCACAAGUCAAGCAAUCAACCUACACAUGCAAUUCUAAGAGUAUAGCAGGGAAAUGUAAAACAUUGCAUAUGAAGGUAAAUGAAAGGGUUUGGAGAAGGCAAACUCAAUGGAGACCACGGAGAUUUUUGGCGUGGUUCCGAUAGGCGGUGCUAUCGUACAUCCACGUUGCUGGAGACUUCAACCCACGAAGGGUAACGGUUGCGCGAGUCCACGGAGGGCACCACCCAUGCAGGGUCCAUGGAUAAGCAACCUUGUCUAUCCCACCAUGGCCAUCGCCCAUGAAGGACUUGCCUCACUCGAGUAGAUCUUCACGAGGUAGGCGCUCUCCUUGCCCUUACAAACUUCUUGGUUCAACUCCACUCAUAUUGGAGGCUUCCAAGCGACACCUAACCAAUCUAGGAGAUACCACUCUCCAAACGGUAAUAGACGGUGUGUUGAUGAUGAACUCCUUGCUCUUGUGGUUCAAAUGAUAGUCUCCCCAACACUCAACUCUCUCUCACAGAUUGGGCUAUGGUGGAAGAAGGAUUUGAGUGGGAAGAAACUUGGGGAAGGCUAGAAAUCAAGGUUCAAAUGGUAGGAAUGGAAUCUCUUGAUCUCCACACAUGAGUAGGUGGUUCUCUCUCAGAAAAUGAAUGAUGGAAGUGUAGGCACGUUCUGAUGGCUCUCUCACAAAUGGAGAAGGGGGUGGAGGGGUAUAUAUAGCCUCCACACAAAAUCCAACCAUUACACCCUUUUGAUUCAUCUCGGUGGCACCGAUUAGUUAAACUCGGUGGCACCGAUCUGUUCAAAAAUAUGAACAUUAGGAAUCUCGGUGGGACCGACUGGAACAACUCACCGGGACUGAUGUGCUAUGGCUUAGGGCAAAUCUCGUCUCGGUGGCACCGAUUGCAUCAAUUCAGUGAGACCGAAGUGAAGCAAUAAGGCAACAGAGAGUUGGCAAGCCAUCUUGGUGAGACCGAUUGCAAUUCUCGGUGAGACCGAAAUAAUUGCAACAAGUAACAAAGAGUUGGCAAGGCCAUCUCAGUGAGACCGAGAUCCGUAUCGAUGUGACCGAAUCGUUAGGGUUUCUGACAGUGGCUAUGUCAAAUGAACUCGGUGGCUCUGGAUAGAAAGUAACGGUGGGGCCGAGUUUGGAAUUAGGGUUUGGACAUAUUUGGAUAGAGAAAGUGGCUGAGCGUCCAUUUUGCAUAUGCUUUUAUUUGAUAUUUAUUGCAUUAUGGGCUGUUAUCACACAUUAUGGUACAAUAUUUAUGCCUUUUCUAUCUUAUUUUACAAGGUUUACAUGAAGAGGGAGAAUGCCGGUAGCUGGAAUUCUGGACCGGAAAGGUCCAAAUCUGAGAGACCUAUUCUGCACAACUCCAAAAGUCCUGAAAAUUUAUGGAGAAUUAUUUUGGAAUAUAUAAAAAAUAUUACAUGAAGAAAAUACCAGAGAGGCCCACCAGGUGGCCACAAGCCUGGGGGCACGCCCCCAGGGUUGUGGGCCCCCUGGCAGGUCUCUGGUGCUCAUCUUCUGCUAUAUGGAGGGUUUUGACCUGAAAAAAACAGAAGGAAGCUUUCGGGACGAAGCGCCGCCGACUCGAGGCGGAACCUGGGCAGAAGCAAUCUAGGGCUCCGGCGGAGCUGUUCUGCUAGGGAAACUUCCCUCCGGGAGGGGGAAAUCGAAGACAUCGUCAUCACCAAUGAUCCUCUCAUCGAGAGGGGGUCAAUCUCCAUCAACAUCUUCACCAGCACCAUCUCCUCUCAAACCCUAGUUCAUCUCUUGUAUCCGAUCUUUGUCUCAAAAUCUCAGAUUGGUACCUGUGGGUUGCUAGUAGUGUUGAUUACUCCUUGUAGUUGAUACUAGUUGGUUUAUUUGGUGGAAGAUUAUAUGUUCAGAUCCUUGAUGAUAUUUAUUACCCCUCUGAUUAUGAAUAUGAAUAUGCUUUGUGAGUAGUUACGUUUGUUCCUGAGGACAUGGGAGAAGUCUUCUUAUAAGUAAUCAUGUGAAUUUGGUAUUUGUUCGAUGAGAUGUAUGUUGUCUUUCCUCUAGUGGUGUUAUGUGAACGUCGACUACAUGACACUUCACCAUGAUUUGGGCCUAGGGGAAGGCAUUGGGAAGUACUAACUAGAUGAUGGGUUGCUAGAGUGACAGAAGCUUAAACCCUAGUUUAUGCGUUGCUUCGUCAGGGGCUGAUUUGGAUCCAUAUGUUUCAUGCUAUGGUUAGAUUUAUCUUAAUUGUUCUUUCGUAGUUGUGGAUGCUUGUGAGAGGGGUUAAUCAUAAGUGGGUGAGGGAAAUAUGCCCUAGAGGCAAUAAUAAAGUUAUUAUUUUAUUUCCUUAUAUCAUGAUAAAUGUUUAUUAUUCAUGCUAGAAUUGUAUUAACCAGAAACUUGAUACAUGUGUGAAUACAUAGACAAAACAAAGUGUCCCUAGUAUGCCUCUACUAGACUAGCUCGUAAAUCAAAGAUGGUUAAGUUUCCUGACCAUAGACAUGUGUUGUAAUUUGAUGAACGGGAUCACAUCGUUAGAGAAUGAUGUGAUGGACAAGACCCAUCUGUUAGCUUAGCAUUAUGAUCAUUAAGCUUUAUUGCUAUUGCUUUCUUCAUGACUUAUACAUGUUCCCCUGACUAUGAGAUUAUGCAACUCCCGAAUACCGGAGGAACACCUUGUGUGCUAUCAAACGUCACAACGUAACUGGGUGAUUAUAAAGAUGCUCUACAGGUGUCUCCGAAGGUGUUUGUUGGGUUGGCAUAGAUCGAGAUUAGGAUUUGUCACUCCGUGUAUCGGAGAGGUAUCUCUGGGCCCUCUUGGUAAUACACAUCACUGUAAGCCUUGCAAGCAAUGUGACUAAUGAGUUAGUUGUGGGAUGAUGCAUUACGGAACGAGUAAAGAGACUUGCCGGUAACGAGAUUGAACUAGGUAUGAUGAUACCAACGAUCGAAUCUCGGGAAAGUAACAUACCGAUGACAAAGGGAACAAUGUAUGUUGUUAUGCGGUUUGACCAAUAAAGAUCUUCGUAGAAUAUGUAGGAACCAAUAUGAGCAUCCAGGGUCCGCUAUUGGUUAUUGACCGGAUAUGUGUCUCGGCCAUGUCUACAUAGUUCUCGAACCCGUAGGGUCCCCACGCUUAACGUUCGAUGACGAUUUGUAUUAUGAGUUAUGUGAUUUGAUGAACCGAAGUUUGUUCGGAGUCCCGGAUGAGAUCACAGACUGACCAGGAGUCUCAAAAUGGUCGAGACAUAAAGAUUCUUAUAUUGGAAGGUUACAUUCGGACACCGGGAUGGUUCGAGUUGUUCCGGAUGAGUUUUGGAGUACCGGGGGCUACCGGAACCCCUCCCCCGCGGGGAAGUUCAUGGGCCUUCAUGGGCCUUAGUGGAAAGGAGAGGAGGGCCACAAGGGAGGCCGCGCGCCCCCCCAUGGCCAGUGCGAAUUGGACUAGGGAGGGGGGGGGCGCCCCCUCUUUCCUUCUCCCCUCUUCCUCCUCCCCUCCUUCUCCCUCUCUUGGAUGGAAGGGGACUCCAACUAGGAUUGGGAAUCCUAGUUGGACUCCCCAUGGCGCGCGCCCCCCUUGGCCGGCCUCCUCCUCCUCCCCCUCCUUUAUAUACGUGGGAGGGGGCACCCAAAGGACACACAAGUUUCUCUUAACCGUGUGCGGUGCCCCCAUCCACAGUUACACACCUCGGUCAUAUCGUCAUAGUGCUUAGGCGAAGCCCUGCGCUAGUAAGUUCAUCAUCACCGUCACCACGCCGUCGUGCUGACGGAACUUUCCCUCGACCUCAACUGGAUCAAGAGCUCGAGGGACGUCAUCGAGCACGCGGAGGUGCCGUACGUUCGGUGCUUGGAUCGGUUGGAUCGCGAAGACGUUAGACUACAUCAACCGUGUUACUAAACGCUUCCGCUUUCGGUCUACAAGGGUACGUGGACACACUCUCCCCGCUCGUUGCUAUGCAUAUCCUAGAUAGAUUUUGCAUGAUCGUAGGUACUUUUUUUGAAAUACUGGGUUCCCCAACAGCGGCAUCCGAGCCAGGUCUAUGCGUAGAUGUUAUAUGCACGAGUAGAACACAAAGAGUUGUGGGCGAUAAUAGUCAUACUGCUUACCAACAACGUCUUACUUUGAUUCGGCGGCAUUGUUGGAUGAAGCGGCCCAGACCGACAUUACAUGACCGCAUUCAUGAGACUGGUUCUACCGACGUGCUUCACACACAAGUGGCUACCGGGUGUCUAUUUCUCCAACUUUAGUUGAAUCGAGUUUGACUACGCCCGGUCCUUGUUGAAGGUUAAAAAAACACACUUGAUGAAAAAUCGUUGUGGUUUUGAUGCAUAGGUAAGAACGGUUCUUGCUAGAAGCCCAUAGCAGCCACGUAAAACUUGCAACAACAAAGUAGAGGACGUCUAACUUGUUUUUGCGGGGCAUUUUGUGAUGUGAUAUGGUCAAGAUGUGAUGAGAUAUAAAUUAUUGUAUGAGAUGAUCAUGUUUUGUAAAAGUUAUCGGCAACUGGCAGGAGCCUUAUGGUUGUCGCUUUAUUGUAUGAAAUGCAAUCACCAUGUAAUUGCUUUACUUUAUCACUAAGCGGUAGCGAUAGUCGUAGAAGCAAUAGUUGGCGAAACGACAACGAUGCUACGAUAGAGAUCAAGGUGUCAAGCCGGUCACGAUGGAGAUCAUGACGGUGCUUUGGAGAUGGAGAUCAAAGGCACAAGAUGAUGAUGGCCAUAUCAUGUCACAUAUUUUGAUUGCAUGUGAUGUUUAUCUUUUAUGCAUCUUAUUUUGCUUAGUACGGCAGUAGCAUUAUAAGAUGAUCCCUCACAAAAUUUCAAGGUAUAAGUGUUCACCCUGAGUAUGCAUCGUUGCUACAGUUCGUCGUGCCGAGACACCACGUGAUGAUCGGGUGUGAUAAGCUCUACGUUCACAUGCAAUGGGUGCAAGCCAGUUUUGCACACGUAGAAUACUCGGGUUAAACUUGACGAGACUAGCAUAUGCAGAUAUGGCCUUGGAACAUUGAGACCGAAAGGUCGAACAUGAAUCAUAUAGUAGAUAUGAUCAACAUAGUGAUGUUCACAAUUGAAAACUACUCCAUCUCACGUGAUGAUCGGACAUGGUUUAGUUGAUUUGGAUCACGUGAUCAUUUAGAUGACUAGAGGGAUGUCAAUCUAAGUGGGAGUUCUUAAGUAAUAUGAUUAAUUAAACUUUAAUUUAUCAUGAAUUUAGUCCUGAUAGUAUUUGCAUUUCUAUGUUGUAGAUCAAUGGCUUGCGAUGAAGCUCCCAGUUUAUUUUUGAUAUGUUCCUAGAGAAAACUAAGUUGAAAGAUGAUAGUAGCAAUGAUGCGGACUGGGUCCGUGAUCUGAGGAUUAUCCUCAUUGCUACACAGAAGAAUUAUGUCCUUGAUGCACCGCUAGGUGACAGACCUAUUCCAGGAGUAUAUGCAGACGUUAUGAACGUUUGGCAAGCUCGAUAUGAUGACUACUUGAUAGUUUAGUGCACCAUGCUUUACGGCUUAAAACCGGGACUUCAAAAACAUUUUGAACGCCAUGGAGCAUAUGAGAUGUUCCAAGAGUUGAAAUUAGUAUUUCAGACUCAUGCCCGCGUCGAGAGGUAUGAGACCUCUGACAGUACUUUGCCUACAAGAUGGAGGAGAAUAGCUCAACCAGUGAGGAUGUGCUCAGAUUGUCUGGGCACUACAAUCGCUUGAAUCAAGUGGGAGUUAAUCUUCCAGAUAAUAUAGUGAUUGAUAGUGUUCUCUAGUCACUAUCACCAAGCUACUAGAACUUCGUGAUGAACUAUAAUCUGCAAGGGAUGACGAAAAUGAUUCCCGUGCUCUUCGCGAUGCUGAAAUCAGCGAAGGUAGAAAUCAAGAAAAAAGCAUCAAGUGUUGAUGGUUGACAAGACCACUAGUUUCAAGUAAAAGGGCAAAGGAAAGGAAAGGGAACUUCAAGAAGAAUGGCAAGCAAGUUGCCACUCCCAUGAAGAAACCCAAAGCUAGACCCAAGCCUGAAACUGAGUGCUUCUACCGCAAAGGAAAUAGUCACUGGAAGUGGAACUGCCCUAGAUACUUGGUGGAUAAGAAGGAUGGCAAAGUGAACAAAGAUAUAUUUGAUAUACAUAUUAUUGAUGUGUACUUUACUAGUGUUUAUAGCAACCCCUUGGUAUUUGAAACUGGUUCAGUUGUGAAAACAGGAGUUGCAAGAUAAACAUAGACUAGUUAAGGACGAGGUGACGAUGUGUAUUGGAAAUGAUUCCAAGGUUGAUAAGAUCACCAUCGCACACUCCAUUUACCUUCGGGAUUAGUGUUGAACCUAAAAUAAAUGUUAUUUUGUGUUUGCGUUGAGCAUGAAUAUGACUGGAUCAUGUUUAUUGCAAUACGGUCAUUCAUUUAAGUCAAAGAAUAAUUUUUGUUCUGUUUACAUGAAUAAAACCUUCUAUGGUCAUACACUUAAUAUAAAUGGUUUAUCGAAUCUCGAUCGUAGUGAUACACAUAUUCAUAAUAUUGACGCCAAAAGAUGCAAGGUUAAUAAUGAUAGUGCAACUUAUUUGUGGCACUGCCGUUUAGGUCAUAUUGGUGUAAAGCGCAUGAAGAAACUCCAUGCUGAUGGACUUUUGGAAUCACUUGAUGCUUGCGAACCAUGCCUCAUGGUCAAGAUGACUAACACUCCGUUCUCCGUAACAAUGGAGCAAGCAACUGACUUAUUGGAAAUAAUACAUACUGAUGUAUGCGGUCCGAUGAGUGUUGAGGCUCGCGGCGGGUAUCGUUAUUUUUUGACCUUCACAAUUGAUUUGAGCAGAUAUGGUAUAUCUACUUAAUGAAACAUAAGUCUGAAACAUUUGAAAAGUUCAAAGAAUUUCAGAGUGAAGUGGAAAAUCAUCGUAACAAGAAAAUAAAGUUUCUACGAUCUGAUCGUGGAGGUGAAUAUUUGAGUUACGAGUUUGGUCUUCAUUUGAAACAAUAUGGAAUAGUUUCGCAACUCAUGCCACCUGGAACACCACAACGUAAUGGUGUGUCCGAACGUCGUAACCGUACUUUAUUGGAUAUGGUGCGAUCUAUGAUGUCUCUUACCAAUUUACCACUACCGUUUUGGGAUUAUGCAUUAGAGACAACUGCAUUCACGUUAAAUAGGGCACCAUCUAAAUCCGAUGCGACGACACCGUAUGAACUGUGGUUUAGCAAGAAACCUAAGCUGUCAUUUCUUAAAGUUUGGGGUUACGAUGCUUAUGUAAAAAAGCUUCGGCCUGAUAAAGCUCGACCCAAAUCGGAGAAGUGUGUCUUCAUAGGAUACCCAAAGGAGACUGUUGGGUACACCUUCUAUCACAGAUCCAAAGGCAAGAUACUCGUUGCUGAGAAUGGAUCCUUUCUAGAGAAGGAGUUUCUCUCGAAAGAAGUGAGUGCGAGGAAAGUAGAACUUGAUGAGGUAAUUGUACCUUCUCCCGAAUUGUAAAGUAGUACAUCAUAGAAAUCAGUGCAAGUGAUUCCUACACCAAUUAGUGAGGAAGCUAAUGAUGAUGAUCAUGAAACUUCAGAUCAAGUUACUACUGAACCUCGUAGGUCAACCAGAGUACGAUCCGCACCAGAGUGGUACGGUAAUCCUGUUCUGGAGGUCAUGUUACUUGACCAUGACGAACCUACGAACUUUGAGGAAAAGAUGAUGAGCCCAGAUUCUGCAAAAUGGCUUGAGGCCAUGAAAUCUGAGAUGGGAUCCAUGUAUGAGAACAAAGUAUGGACUUUGGUUGACUUGCUCGAUGAUCAGCAAGCCAUUGAGAAUAAAUGGAGCUUUCAAGAGGAAGAGGCACGCUGAUAGUAGUGUUACUAUCUACAAAGCUCGAAUUGUCACAAAAGGUUUUUGACAAGUUCAAGGUGUUGACUACGAUGAGAUUUUCUCACUCGUAUCGAUGCUUAAGUCUGUCCGAAUCAUGUUAGCAAUUGCGCAUUUUAUGAAAUCUGGCAAAUGGAUAUCAAAAAAACAUUCCUUGAUGGAGUUAUUAAAGAAGAGUUGUAUGUGAUGCAACCAGAAGGUUUUGUCAAUCCUAAAGGUGCUAACAAAAUGUGCAAGCUCUAGCGAUCCAUCUAUGGACUGGUGCAAGCAUCUCGGAGUUGGAAUAUACACUUUGAUGAGUUGAUCAAAUUAUAUAGUUUUAUACAGACUUGCGGUGAAGCCUGUAUUUACAAGAAAGUGAGUGGGAGCACUACAGCCUUUUUGAUAAGUAUAUGUCAAUGACAUAUUGUUGAUCGGAAAUGAUGUAGAAUUUUUCUGGAAAGCAUAAAGGAGUGUUUGAAAGGAGUUUUUCAAAGAAAGACCUUGGUGAAAGCUACUUACAUAUUGGGCAUCAAAAUCUAUAGAGAUAGAUCAAGACGCUUGAUAAAACUUCCGAAGAGUACAUACCUUGAUAAGAUUUUGAAGGAGUUCAAAAUGGAUCAGUCAAAGAAGGAGUUUUUGCCUAAGUUGUAAGGUAUGAAGUAGAGUAAGACUCAAAACCCGACCACGGCAGAAAAUAGAAAGAUAAUGAAAGUCAUUUCCUAUGCCUCAGUCAUAGGUUCUAUAAAGUAUGAUAUGUUGUGUACCAAACCUAUUGUAUACCUUGCCAUGAGUUUGGCAAGGGGGUACGAUAUUGAUCCAGGAGUGGAUCACUUGACAGCGGUCAAAGUUAUCCUUAGUUACCUAAGAGGACUAAGGAAAUAUUUCUCGGUUAUGGAGGUGAUAAAGAGUUCGUCAUAAAGAGUUACGUUGACGAAAGCUUUUACAUCAAUCCAGAUGACUCUAAGUCUCAAUCUGGAUACAUAUUGAAAGUGGGAGCAAUUAGCUAGAGUAGCUCCAUGCAGAGCAUUGAAGACAUAGAAAUUUGCAAAAUACAUACGGAUCUGAAUGUUGCAGACCCGUAGACUAAAAUUUCUCUCAUAAGCAAAACAUGAUCAUACCUUAUUACUCUUGGGUGUUAAUCACAUAGCGAUGUGAACUAGAUUAUUGACUCUAGUAAACCCUUUGAUUGUUGGUCACAUGGCGAUGUGAACUAUGGGUGUUAAUCACAUGGUGAUGUGAACUAUUGGUGUUAAAUCACAUGGCGAUGUUAACUUGAUUAUUGACUCUAGUGCAAGUGGGAGACUGAAGGAAAUAUGCCCUAGAGGCAAUAAUAAAGUUAUUAUUUUAUUUCCUUAUAUCAUGAUAAAUGUUUAUUAUUCAUGCUAGAAUUGUAUUAACCGGAAAGUUGAUACAUGUGUGAAUACAUAGACAAAACAAAGUGUCCCUAGUAUGCCUCUACUAGACUAGCUCGUUAAUCAAAGAUGGUUAAGUUUCCUGACCAUAGACAUGUGUUGUCAUUUGAUGAACGGGAUCACAUCAUUAGAGAAUGAUGUGAUGGACAAGACCCACCCGUUAGCUUAGCAUUAUGAUCGUUAAGUUCUAUUGCUAUUGCUUUCUUCAUGACUUAUACAUGUUCCUCUGACUAUGAGAUUAUGCAACUCCCGAAAACCAGAGGAACACCUUGUGUGCUAUCAAACGUCACAACGUAACUUGGUGAUUAUAAAGAUGCUCUACAGGUGUCUCCGAAGGUGUUUGUUGGGUUGGCAUAGAUCGAGAUUAGGAUUUGUCACUCCGUGUAUCGGAGAGGUAUCUCUGGGCCCUCUCGGUAAUACACAUCACUAUAAGCCUUGCAAGCAAUGUGACUAAUGAGUUAGUUGUGGGAUGAUGCAUUACGGAACGAGUAAAGAGACUUGCCGGUAACGAGACUGAACUACGUAUGAUGAUAACGACGAUCGAAUCUCGGGCAAGUAACAUACCGAUGACAAAGGGAACAAAGUAUGUUAUUAUGCGGUUUGACCGAUAAAGAUCUUCGUAGAAUAUGUAGGAACCAAUAUGAGCAUCUAGGUUCCGCUAUUGGUUGUUGAGCAGAGAUGUGUCUCGACCAUGUCUACAUAGUUGUCAAACCCGUAGGGUCCGCACGUUUCGAUGACGAUUUGUAUUAUGAGUUAUGUGAUUUGAUGAACCGAAGUUUGUUCAGAGUCCUGGAUGAGAUCACGGACAUGACGAGGAGUCUCGAAAUGGUCGAGACAUAAAGAUUCUUAUAUUGGAAGGUUACUUUCGGACACCGGAAUGGUUCGGGUUGUUCUGGAUGAGUUUCGGAGUACCGGGGGUUACCGGACCCCCCGGGAAGUUCAUGGGCCUUAGUGGAAACAAGAGGAGGGCCACAAGGGAGGCCGCGCCCCCAUGACCAGUCCGAAUUGGACUAGGGAGGGGGGGGGGCGGCGCCCCCUCUUUCCUUCUCCCCUCUUCCUCCUUCUCUCCUUCUCCCUCUCUUGGAUGGAAGGGGACUCCAACUAGGAUCGGCAAUCCUAGUUGGACUCCCCAUGGCGCGCGCCCCCCUUGGCCGGCCUCCUCCUCCUCCCCCUCCUUUAUAUACGUGGGAGGGGGCACCCCAAAGGACACACAAGUUUCUCUUAACCGUGUGCGGUGCCCCCUCCACAGUUACACACCUCGAUUAUAUCGUCGUAGUGCUUAGGCGAAGCCCUGCGCUGGUAACUUCAUCAUCACCGUCGCCACGCCGUCCUGCUGAUGGAACUCUCCCUCGGCCUCAACUGGAUCAAGAGCUCGAGGGACAUCAUUGAGCUGAACGUGUGCUGAAUGCGGAGGUGCCGUAUGUUCGGUGCUUGGAUCAGUUGGAUCGCGAAGACGUUUGACUACAUCAACCACGUUACUAAACGCUUCUGCUUCCGGUCUACGAGGGUACGUGGACACACUCCCCCAGCUCAUUGCUAUGUAUCUCCUAGAUAGAUCUUGCGUUAUCGUAGGUAAUUUUUUUGAAAUACUGCGUUCCCCAAUAGUGGGAGGCUUGUCCAAGUAAGGGCAACACCCCAGCACUGGCUACCCACAUACCAAAUUAUCAAAGUAACGAACGCGAAUCAUAUGAGCAUGAUGAAACUAACUUGACAACAAUUCCCAUGUGUCCUCGGGAGCACUUUGCUUUAUAUAAGAGUUCGUCCAGGCUUAUCCUUUGCUAAAAAAAGGAUUGGGCCACCUUGCUGCACCUUAGUUACAUUUGUCACUUGUUACCCGUUACAAAUUAUCUUAUCACAAAAUUAUCUGUUACCGAUAAUUUCAGUGCUUGUAGAGAAUACCUUGCUGAAAACCGCUUGUCAUUUCCUUCUGCUCCUCGUUGGGUUUGACACUCUUACUUAUCAAAAGGACUACGAUAGGUCCCCUAUACUUGUGGGUCAUCAAGGGUUUUGGAGCAAUAUCACUAAGUACUUGAGCAUGUAGACCAUUAAGCAACACUUCAUCCCCUUUUAAUAGUAUUGGCUUUCCUAUGGAGUCAAUGUGAUCUUGGAUCACUAAACUAGAAAUGAAGAGUCUUGAGAUUUUGCUAACCUUUGUCCUUAGCAUUUUGAGGGGUCCACAUCUCUAGUCAAUGUCGUGCCAAUCAUUGAACAUGCUAAAAUAUUUAUCUUGAAUGGAUAUUAGUUCAAUGAGCUAUAUGUUGUUAUGAAUUACCAAAAGCACCUGGGGAUUAGUUGCGCUUUCAAUCUCCCCCUUUUUGGUAAUUGAUGACAACAUAUAGAUGAAAGCUUCAAUAAUUGAUUAAAUGAAUGAAAUACAUCGUCGCUUUUAGAAGUAUGUGAUAAGAAAGAGCUCCCCCUAAAUUUGUGCAUAUUUAAAAAUUUGCGUUUAAAUGCAAAUGCUCGAUCGAUUAGGAUCAUGGGUCACUCUUCCAUGUCACAUACAUCUUGGUGGAGGGCACAAAAUGAUAAGAGUGAAAUAAUAUGCACGCAUCACCAAACACAUAAGUGGAUGAUCAGCACAAAUAAUCAUAAAGAGAAGCAUUAAGCAUAUAUUAAGCAAAGUAGGAUCAACCACAUAACCAAACAUAGUAUCGCACGAGCAUCAAAACAACCAAGUAGCACGAAUCAAACGAACAUAGUAGCAACGGGCAAUAAAAACCAAAGAGCAAAAGCGAGACUCUCUCUCUCUCUCAGCCUAUGAUCUAUACAAUUUCUCCCCCUUUGGCAACUAGUACAAAAAAGCUCGAAAUGGUAUAGAGCUAUGCGUCUCUCUAGGCAUGAUCCUCUGGAGCUCCUGAAGGGGACUUCUGGCUUGUGUCUCCUGUGUGCGUAGAUAGCAUUGCGAGAACUACAUCUGCAAAUGCUUCUGCUGAUGUCUUCUGAACUGGUGGUGUAGGCACUAGAGGUGGCACUGUAGCACUAGUGGCAAGUGCAGAGUGAGUGGUCCUCGUGUCUGCAACUGGAACAACUGAAGAUCUAGCUGCUCUGGGCACAGUCUGAUACCUGUCAGUUGUCUAUCUAUCAUCUCCACUCUCAGCAUCAUCUCUAAGCUGCUCCACAAUAGACUGAAUCUCUGUGACCUUGACAUCAAGAUUGUACAUCUUGUCCUCCACAAUCCGCUCUAAGCUCUCCUGGUUCUUGGCUAAGUUGGCCAGACGUUGCUCAAUCUUCAUUGUUGCUUCCAGCAGAUAUGUCAUUUGGUCUUGCUUUGUCUUGAGAUUUGCUAUUGGGGCAUUGGCUACAGUGGCUUCCUUUGCUGCUUUUGCUGCUGCAACCUGAGCCUUCUCUUGAGGCUCAGCUGAUGUGGGGUGUGAGGCAUCCAUCACCGCCACAUUAUCCUCGAACUCUGGCUGAAGGGGGAGGUGCUCACGAUCAAAUAGAUAUGUGUCUGUACCAACUUUGGAGUUGAUAAGCAUCUGAAUGUGUGGGGCAUAUCCAUAAGAUCUCUUCUGGUCAGCAACUGUCCUCUUGGUCGUCUCAAUAAUAAAACUCAUAACUUUGAACUUCUGGGGGGGGGGUGUCAAACAAAUGGAGCAAGUUAAUGGAGUGGCCACGUAUCAUCUUGGCAUCUCCAUGCUUGGGCAAAAGGGUAUGCCUCAAGAUAGUGUUGGUUGUGGCCAACCCAGCUAUCAAAUGCUUGACUGACCCAUGCUUGUGGCUCUCAACAUCGUUUGGAGGAAUUUCCUUGUACAUGUUUGCCAUUAUGUUGUGGUCCAUCCGGGGCUUCCCAUAUACAUCAACAUCAUUUUCGUCUUCCUCAGGGGCAAUAAGAAGUGCAGCCCACUCAGAGAUUGAUGACUGGUACUUGUGUCCCUCAGCCACCCAUGCAAUCUUUCCAUCUGGAUAGAAGUGUGUUGUGGAGUAGAAUUGCAUGAUCACCUCAUCAUUCCACUUGGUGAGCUUCUGACCAACAAAUGCAUCAACUCUAGCAAGUCUGAAACUCUCAUGAAUGUGGGGGAAAUAAUCUUCAUUGGUAUCGAUGUAUUUCCAGUCCACUCACUUCAUGUCACUAACAAUGGGCUUCUUAUCAAGCAAAAUUGUCUCAUAGAAAUCCUGUUGUUCACGAGUGGGAAAGUGAUAAUCACAAGAUGUCCUCCUCCUAACUGAAUAGGGAUCCACUUUCCUCCACUCUCUCAGUCCUUUGUCCUUCUUGAGCAUCAUGUUUUCAGCAACGGGAUGAGCAUUAUCAUGAUUUGGGAUCUUGGGCUUGAGCCUCCUGAGCACUAGUGGCUCAUCAUCAUCCUGAACCUCUGGCACUAUGGCCUUGUUCUUCUCACCAGCUGAAAUGUUUCUUGUAGACCUCUUGGGAGCAGAAACCUUGGGCUUGGACUUUGGUUUGGAAGGAGCAGUUGUCUUCAUGGCAUCAGCCAUGAGUUUCUGUGCCUUGGCAGGAGGUGCUUCAGCAUGCUCUUCCUCCUCUUCCUCAUCAGCAGUGUCCUUUUUCAAAUUUAGCCAUGGGAUCAACAAGUUUGCACCAUCUACCUCUUUUCCUUUCUUUCUUCUUUCCUACAACUUUGUCAACCUUGGACCGAGGAACUUUCCUGGCACCAGUCCUUUCCUUGGCACUUGGCUUAGUCCUAGCUGCAGAGCCAUACUCCUAUCAGACUACUACCUUAUUUUGCUUGGAAGUGGCCUCAUCUGCCACAAAAUCUUCAUACUCGCUGUCAGAGGUUCUCUUCUUCCUUGUUCUAGUGGCAGCCUUUGGCAAAUUGCUUGGAGUGCUCCUGAUGCCCUCAUCAUAGCUCUCAUUGGCACUAGAGCCUUCACUUAGAUCAACAUUCGGCUCUGACUGAUUCUAACUGUCACUUGCACAAGACAUCUUGCAAAGCUGACCCUGGGAAUAAAUGGGUAUGUACAGAGUAGAUGAGUUAUGACAAAAAGCAGAUAGUUUUUAGAAAAUUUGAGUCCAAACUUUAGUUUUAGUUUUCCAAAAAAAGCAUUUCAGAGCUACCGAUAUGUUUAUUUUGGUCACACCGAAGCACACACAUACCCUAAACACACAAUUUCAGUUGGACCGAGUUAUGGUUCGGUGGCUCCGAGAUGCUAGGGUUUCACUGAAACUUUAUUUUCGGGCUCACCGCCAGUAUGUUUCAGUGGAACCGAGUUGUACUUGUGCAAUGGCCAAGGCCAAUCGGUGGGGCCAAAAAUUUCAUUUCGGUUGGUCCGAGAUGAGCUCGGCGGAAACCUAACCCUAAUUUUUUUCGUCGAAUCUAUUCUAAUGAAUUUGUUUGGUGGAUAGAUCAAUCUCAAAAGUGGCAAGAUACUAGGCAUUGUCCUUGUGCAUUGAAUCGGAUAAAUAGAAGCACGAGGAGAUCGAAUCUCACCCUAACUCGGUGACGAUCCUCUACGGCGGCAACUGUGGAGUAGAUUCCGUUGACGGCGGUGGAUUCCUACGGCGAUGACGCACAGGAGAUGAGGGCGACGAGAGGGAGACCAAUGGGGUGGCAACAAUGGGGCGCAGGCUCGAAAUGUUUGAAGAAAUUUUCAACUGUACGGGCCGCAAGAUAUAUACCCAUGUGUUGUCAAUGGCACCGAGUGGAACGAAUCGGUGGCACCGAGAUGUGAAACUGCGUGCAGUUACAACAAAUCGGUGGGACCAAGUCGGUCUAAUUAGUAGCACCGAGAUAAAACCUAGAUCAAUCUAAUGCUUUCGGUGUGACCGAGUUUGAAUGAAUUGGUCUGACCAAAAAACUGUAGAAGGUUUUGGAAGGCAGCCCUUGACGGAUCGGUGGCUCCGAGUGCUCCUCAGCUGGAGGGUGUGAAAAGAAACUUGUUCAUUUUUUUUGUGAUAUAGCAUGAAUAGAGUUUGAGACAAGAAGAGCAUAGAUAGCUAGAAAAAGUUCUGUGGUAUUCUUGUACAUCCACUUGGCCAAUAAAAACCAAGACAAUCAAAACAACAAAUGGAUGUCCUCGAAUGGGGAAAAAAUAUGCAACCAACAUGCUCACACAAUAAGAUAGCAAACGAAAUAUGUGUCAAAGCAUGCACAAACAAUUCUAGCAUAUACCAAGCAAUUGGCGAUGACUAGGUCAUCUAUAGAUGACUAUAUUGACUUAGGAGUCAAAUGAGAACAUUUGAUCAUAGGUCAUACUCAUCGUUUAAGCACAAGUGGGGUUACCGCUUUUACAUAAAGCAUUAAUGUGUUCACACCAUUAGAGUUGCCUUAGCUCAAUUUCUUAGAGCAAAGCUCCCCCUAGAUGUGAUAUCCCCCCUAAGUAAAUCUGAGAAUGGUUUUGCUAUAAUCGGGUUUGUUGGGUCGGUUUCUCUAUGUGGGUAUGUGUAGUUUGGGUGUUAAUGGGCUGACACUGACAUUGGUUCAGUUUAAUUCGGUUUUGUGUAUCAAAUGGUUGGGUAUAAUCAGGUAUGGGUUCAAACAGUUCCGAUUCCAAACAGUUUAACCCAUGGGUCGUGCCCAGGUUGUGAGAACUGUUUAGGCCUGUUUGCUCCACGGCUGCCCGUAACAGCGGACGUGGUUGGUGCGGGGUUGCGCGCAAGGUGUUUGUUGAAAAGCAAAGCACAAGUAAGCCAUGAGGGACUUCACAUCCAGAUCGCGGACAGGGCGUCGUCCUCGAGCAGCGCUGGCAAGGGCGUUGCGCGGAACCUGGUCACCUGCCUCUACCGGACGCAGUUCGCCGGCCGGCCCCGCGUCAUCUGGGUCACCUGGAGCAAUGUCGGCCUUGUAGAGGCUCUGGACGCCAAUGCUGAGGCCCUGCCCCAUACACGUCGGCGUCCAGAGCCCUGGCGUCCAGAGCCUCUACAAGGUGGACAUCAAGCCUUGGCUCUUCUCCAAGAAGAAGGGCUCCAAGAGCCUUGACAUCGACGGUGGAAAGGUCAACAUCUUCUAGGACCUGUCGGCUGCCAGGUUCGGCGCGGGGACAGAGCCGCUGGAAGGCUUCUACGUGGCGCUCGGCGGAUGGAGUUACGGCUCCUCCUCUUGCACGAGGCGUCCCUACAGAGGUCGCGGAGGCCGCCAGACUUUGACUGGUUGGUCGGCUUCCCGGGCGCCUGGAUGAACCUGCCGUUGGCCACCGCCGGGCUGUCCACGAUGUGCACGGCACGACGCUUGCCCUCCAGGUCGCGCGGUCGUACACGCGCACCCACCCUCGCUGCCGUCCCUCGCACUGCAUCUUUGCUCAUUUCCUUGGUUUGCUUCAUGUGUUCUGUGCGUCGAGACCGGAGCUACCGGAGGUGCCGGUGGACACAUACUGGAGCGAAUGGAGUACUGACGGCCUUCUGGGCUCUGUCCGUCUGUGGCAGCAGCCACCUGGUUCUUAUUUAUAGGCAUCACCACUUGCUGUUGCUUUGCCGUCGUAGCUCUUGCCACCGCACUAUCACUCUGCUCCUCUGCUGCUCCUAUGUUCUGCAGUGGGUGAGGAGGUGGGCUCGCCAUUGAUGGCCAGAUGGCGGGCACGGUGACGAGGUUCUAUGGCAGCUUGUCAGGUAUGAAUUUGAAUGGGACCUUCUGGGUGCCCAUCUUCCUGAACCGCCUAAUGCUACCUUGCAAGCUGAUGUGUUGACCCAUUAGAGCAAAUAGUUUUCAACCCACUUUAGAAAAUGGUUUUAACCCAUAGAUGGGCACUCGGUUUAGUUCAGUUUGGUGGAAAGAUCGGGUGGGUUUGGUUUUAGUUGGGUUGAUAAUUUUUUAAACGAGUUUAGUUGUGGUUGGGUUGACAGAAAUUUUCGUGUGGGUUCAGUUGAGGUAUGGUCCGGUUUUCAAACCAUCCUCAGGUUUACCCCUAAGAGGGAUGAACUAACCUUGGGUUUUGGUGAUGAUGACUUCAUGUAGAUAGUGAAGAUGUGGAUGCUCAAUGUUGAUGUAGAUCAUUUGGAGCAAUCCUUCGGAGUGUUGCACUUUCAAUACCUACAUGGGUUAGUCCCACAAGGAACAUACAAGGAUAUCCAUAGGCAUAGAGUGAAUUGCACACAUGAUUAUGUCCACGAAAACAUUAGGUUACCUUGUCCCUUGUCUUACCAAAAAGAGGGGUUGUGAUUCCAUGAACUAGUGCAAGAUAUGAAAGUUUAUUGCACAAGUCCUUGUCGUAAUGAAUAUGAGUGAAGUAUGUUGGCGGAGUCACCCUCAAGAACACUCUAGUUCUUCUUCUUUGGGACCCACAUCAACUUGAUGGGAAUCCUUGGAGUUGUAGUUGUACUUGAUGAAGUAGAGCUUGACAUAGUCUUGGGUAACCCACUUGACCAUGGCCUUAGGAGCUUCUUCAAAUGAGUCAAUCUCUUCUUGAAGCUUGUCCUUUCCUUUUAGCUUGUGGUCUUGUGGUGGAAGAUCAUCUUGAGCUUGUUUUCCCUCAAAAGAAGUGGGGUCAUACUUCUCUUGUUGAGGAACAAACUUCAUCUUGGGGUAUUGGUCUCCCUCCCAUUCAACACCAUUGGCAUUGAACUUUCGUUCAAAACCAACACAUUGAUUCUUCCGGUGCCUUCCUUGCUUGCGAACAAUUUCCUCAAAUUGCUUACUCCCAGCAAGGCUCUUGUAAACACCUUUCUCUAUAAUUCCCUUCAAUAAGCUAUUUUCUUGCUAAGUGUAACUUGGCUAAGAGAAUCAUUAGUGGAAUCAAGAGAACUACUAGAAACAACAAUAUUGGAUUUAGCAUGGUUAUUGUUACUACUAGAAGAAGAAUCUUUCUUGCUCUUGUUGCUAGAUUUUACUUGUGGCAUAUAAUUAGAUAAGAGGAGACGUUUGGCAAUGUAAGAAGAACUCUUCUUUCGAAGAUCAUCAUUGAUAGCUUUUAGGAACUCAUGCUCGAAGCAUAGCUUCUCAUGAGUUCUUAGGAGCUCUCUAUGACCCUCUUGAGUAGUUUCAUGAGCUAACUUAAGAGUGUUUAGUUCUUUAGUUAGACGCUCAAUCUCCUUCUUAUCAUUGUCAUUCGUUUCAUCUUGAUUAGCAUGAUUACUAGCAAGUUCAUCAUUGUUUUCACUAGUUUUGUUAAUAAGUAAAUCAUCAUCACCUAGCAAAUCAUCUUCAUCACUAUCAAAAUCAAGAUACUCACGGUGUGAUACCUUGGGGCCUUUAGCCAUGAAGCAUCCUCCAGUUCCUUCAUUUGGUGAAUCAAAUAUGUCGUAGGAGUUGGAUGACACUAGUGCAAGACUGGCAACACCUUCAUGGGUAUAUUCAGAGUCAGAGUGAUAGCUUCUCUCGGAGUAGUUGUCGGAGUCGGAACCAGAUACCCAUUCACCAACGCGAGCUUGAUGUCUUCGUCUUGUGUAGCUCUUUGAGGACUUGUCCUUCCUUUUCGAAUCUUUGCUUCUUUGAGAGGGUCUUCGUUCAUAACGAUUAUCUCUACUCCUUCUCUCUCUUGGAGGUGAUUCAUCUCUUCUACUUCUCCUUUUUGGUGAGUCUUCUGUUUUCUUGUAGGGAACCAUACACUCAUUGGAGUAGUAUCCGGGUCUUCCACAAUUGUAGCAAUUACGAUCACGACUAGAAGAACUUUUGUCAUUGUAGGACCUUGACUUGAAGCUUCUCUCUUUGCUUCUACUCUUGUAGAAUUUGUUGAAGUUCUUCACCAUUAAGCUCAAUUAUUCAUUGGAGACUUGCUUCUCACUUGAUGUUGUAGGAGUAUCACAUGAAGCUUUGUAAGCACCACUUGAGUUGUUGUGGAGCUCUUCCUUAUCCUUGAGUGACAUCUCAUGAGCAACAAUUCUACCAAUGACUUACGUGGGCUUGAGAUCUUUGUAAUUGGCAUCAUUUGGAUCAAUGUGCACAUGGUGUCAUAUUUUCCAUCCAAGGCACUAAGGAUCUUCUUGAUAAUGAAUUUGUCGGUCAUCUCUUCACGUCCUAAGCCGGCAAUCUCAUUUGUGAUGAGAGCAAGCCUAGAGUACAUUUCGGUGACUCCUUCACCAUCCUUCAUCUUGAACUUGUCAAGUUGACUUUGAAGCACAUCCAACUUGGAUUCCUUGAUGGAUUUGGCACCUUCAUGCAUAUCAACCAAAGUAUCCCAAAUCUCCUUUGCAUUCUCAAGGCCUCUAAUUUUGUUGAAUUCUUCAGGGCACAAUCCAUUGAAAAGAAUAUCACAAGCUUGAGCAUUGUAAUGCAAUAUCUUCAAUUCUUCCGCGGUCGCUUCAUUAUUCGGUUCUUUACCAUCUUCAAAGAAUUCACCUUGCAAGCCAAUACACACAACAACCCAAAUGGCGGGGUUAUGACCAAGAAUAUGCAUUUUCAUCUUAUGCUUCCAACUAGCAAAAUUUAUGACAUCAAAAUAAGGACCUCUACGGUGAUAGUUACCCUCGCUAGACGUCAUACUCUCCUAGGUUGUGAAACCAAUGCUAUGAUCACCAAAGCUAUGGAAAUCAAGGCUAAUGAAGACCAAAGCUUUGAUACCACUUGUAGGAUCAAAAGUAUUUCUAGAGGGGGUGAUUAGACACUACUGCAGGAUGCUGCUAAUGUGACACUACAAUCAGAGAUGCUUUGACGAAACUAUGUGCGAUGCAUUAAUCGCAAACGGUGAUGUACCAUAAAAAAAGAUGCAAAAUGUUUGCGAUGGCGGAUACAUCAAACACGAUUCAGAUUAGAGUUGCGUGUGCGUUGCGUGGCAUAUGGUUCACUCCAAUGAACUGUUUGCGAUGAGGCAGAACAACAGAAAUGGGCAGGCAGAUGAAGGUGUGUGCGAUAUACGGCAUAUAGUUCACUCGGAUGAACUGUUUGUUAUUAGGCAACACAACAGAAACGGUCAGCCAGAUGAAAGGUGUGUGCGAUAUAUGACAUACAGUUUACUCGGAUGAACUAUUUGCGUUGAGCCAAGUGAACAGAAACAGCUCAACUUAACAAGAUGUGUGUUGUACGCGGCAAAUAGGUUUGUAAUCAGAAAUGUGUGCGAAGACCAAUAAUAACACACACGAUUGAUGCUAAUAAGCCGUGUCUGUUGUGGGCGAACAUGUCCUGGUAUACAAUUGCCAGCGAUUGAUGAAUUCAUCAAUGACGGUUUCCCUAGUAUGUUCCGUGUGCGAUGUGAUUGCAUACAGAACAACAACAUAUAUACUAAUAAGGACAUAAUUGCACAACCAAAUUGAACAUCCAAUUACAUAGGUGGCUAGUACACGCAUCACAUUUCCACACACCAAAGUAAACUAUUACAUGCAUAAUUAACUAGGAUAAACGAUCAUCUGAUCAUCAUCUACUUCUUCUUGUGACGCUUGCCGCCACUGCUCUACUAGGAUAAACGGAAAUUCUUUACUGUGAAUAGUGUGCUCUUUUGGGCACACAAGUAUAUCGAUCAUAGCCUGGGGCAAGCGAUGUGCUCGCACACGUUGUGCUAGCUCGAUGUUCCUUCUAUGCUAAGUUACCAUUAAUUGAUGGUGAUUUAUGACCACGCCACCGUUUCCCGCCAUUUCCUCACCGGUUUCCCGCCACCACCCAGCGAUAUUGCGCAUAAACCUAGGUGACACACGACACACCGAGGCAACAAGCAUAGCCUGUAGCACAUCCACCUUUUCCAAGCAUGCCAACCCACCGAAGUGCCGCCUCUGCCAUCAACCUCCUCAAUGAGGAAUACAAGUAGGCGUCAAGACCUGUCAAGGCCGAGGCUCUCCUCGGUAACGCGAUGGACGAUGUUGUGCUGUGCGUCAUUGCUAGGGUUGAGCAGACCCUUGGUGCUUCAGCGCCGCGGAUCAAGAUAGGCAUGUCAAUGCCGAUAGGUUGCAGCUCCCCGCACAACAUGAUUGAUGGUGCGCCGCAGAGCAAGCUAGGCGCAUCCGCACCGAUAGUCUGCGGCUCGCCGCACAGCGAGACCGUUGGAUCGCCGCAGAGCGAGAGGCGUGGCACGCCGCACAGCAAGAGCGGAUCCAUCGGCACUUUCCUGAUGUCGACACGGCGUCGCAGCUGGGUACAUGUCUCGUCAGUACCCCCAUUCCUCGCCAGGAGUGGGCAGAGGUCAUCUGCGUCGUACUUGCACCAGAGGUCGGCCGCGCCGUACUUGCACCGGACGCCCGCCGAGCUAUUCGCCUUGUCCGCGGUCCGCUCGAUGCCAAUGCGCUGGUCACUAGGCGCGACCGCCUCCUUGGCCCAGGUGUCCACCUAGGCACAGUAGAGGAACAUGGCCAUCGCAUCCUCGAGCUGGUGAUCUCCAAUGAAAUGGCGAACUUUGAGCUCAAGAUCCCGCUCCAGAUGUACCACAAGCGUGUCGACCGCUUGGAAGAACGCCUGCACGAGUUCAGGCAGAGCCAAGAGCGUUUUAUUUUGUUGAGUCGUUUCGACGUGGAUCGCUAUGUAUUCACAACAAUCAUAAUAUUGCUAUUUUUCAAUGUGUGUCUUUGUUUUCCGUUCUUGUAUGUUCUGUUUCAAUGUGCGUAUAUAUGCUUUCCAUUCUGUAUAUGUGGAUAUAACAGCUAGAUACCAAUUAGUAUACAAAAACAGAUAGAAAAAUGGAAUUCAUAAUAUAUAUUAAUUGUUCAUUAGUUCAUCACAGAAUAUAUAUAAUAUCAUCACAUAUACAUGAUGAUACUUAACUACUAGGUACAAUGCAUAAAAUUGAACACGAACAAUACUAAAACUAAUCAUCACUCCUGGGGGCAGUAUUCCGGCAGCCCCUCGCCAGGAGCUCCCUGGUGCACGGCGUCUUCCCAGCGCGGAGGUGGUACUCCGCCUCCUUCGCCUCACAGCGCUUGACGUACCGAUCUGCCUCUUGCUGGCGGACGAGCAUGAAUGAUCUUGCCAUUUUGUUGGGCACCCACUGGAGCUCCUCGUCGGUGGCACGCUGGAGCUUAUCGUCCCACCUCCACGCAGUGAUAAGGCGCCUAGCGCCUUUGACCUUCCUCGCAAAGUACCCGUCUUCGUAUACCUCCUCCGCAUGACGAUGCACCCACCCCCAGAGCUCCACCGUCCCCUUUUUCCAAGCAGCCUCAUGGGCUUCACAGCCCGCCGAGUACCUGGCUUCCUCCUCCGCCAUCUCCUUCUUAAACGCCACUUGCCUGGCUUUCUCAGCCGGCGACAGCGACUUCCACAAACAAAGAUUGUACUGGCNNNNNNNNNNNNNNNNNNNNNNNNNNNNNNNNNNNNNNNNNNNNNNNNNNNNNNNNNNNNNNNNNNNNNNNNNNNNNNNNNNNNNNNNNNNNNNNNNNNNNNNNNNNNNNNNNNNNNNNNNNNNNNNNNNNNNNNNNNNNNNNNNNNNNNNNNNNNNNNNNNNNNNNNNNNNNNNNNNNNNNNNNNNNNNNNNNNNNNNNNNNNNNNNNNNNNNNNNNNNNNNNNNNNNNNNNNNNNNNNNNNNNNUGAGAGAGAGAGAUAAAGAGAAAGGGAGAGACAGAGAGACAGAGAGGGGAAGUGAGAGGAGGAUGUAGAUGAGAAUGCAGGAGGGACAACGUGAGCAAGGUAGUAUUCAUUGGCAGCCGGAAUCUAGAUCGGCAAGAAUAGUACACACGCCGGUCGCCAGAAUUUACGAGUACUGUAGUUUGAAUUGCACAUGAUUCCCGCAUCAAAAGCUAUGUGUGAACUUAAUAGCUGACGGUUUCCAAUAUAGAACCGCGUCUGAUUAAUAACCCAUGCCACUCACCUUCCAAACCUCGAGGCGCGAAACAGAGUGCCAAUCGUGUGGGGACCGGUUGUCUUGCCAGAUCUUUACAUUUUAUUUUUUCCUCAUAUAAGGCAUGGAUGCUUAUUUUGCGAUACCAUGGCACUCCAUGCAUGUGUCCAAGCUAUGACACCAAUAUGUUUGAAAAUUCCUUCCAAUUUACUGCACAUGGAAUUAACUCACACACAAGUACAGAAAUAUGAUUUUUCAAACCGUUAAUGGUUAGCUGUUGCAUGUAGAUGUAGUUCAGAUUUGAAUUACGGUCAUUAAAUGGCUAGAAAAUCACUUAAAUGUCUUAAAAAAGUCAAAUGACCCAUGAAAUUUUCCAAAUUCUGAGAUGACAGUUGUAUUAGUGCACAUUAACUGUAAAAAAAAUUUGAAGGCCAUAAGAGGAAGCUAUCGCCGAUUCAUCAUCAAAUAUGCAUUGUUCCCUCUCGGAACCACGAGCCUUCUAGCAAGUUGCUCUGGUUUGUGAGGGGUGUGUCCAAACUUCGGUCAAUUUUUUACCACGUCAUCUUGGUGGCAUGACAUUACAUCAAUCAAGGUUUCAGUGUUUCUGGUCAUUUUUUAAUUUUUUGGAAUUUAAAUGCCAUGGCACUCGAUGCUUUGUGUCCAAGCCGUGAGACCAAUAUGUUUGAAAAUUCCUUCCAAUUUACUACACAUGGAAUUAACUCACACGCAAGUACAUAAAUAUGAUUUUUCAAACCGUUAUGGUUAACUAUUGCAUGUAGAUGUAGUUCAAAUUUGAAUUACGAUCAUUAAAUUGCUAGAAAAUCACAUAAUUGUCUUAAAAAAGUCAAAUGACCCAUGGAAUUUUCCAAAAUUUCACAUGACAGUUGUAUAAUUACACGUUAACUAUAGAAUUUUUUUGAAGGCCAUAAGGGGAAGCUAUCAAGCGUUUGUUAUCAAACAUGCAUUGUUCCCUCUCGGAACCACGAGGCUUCUAGUGAGUUGCUCCGGUUUGUGAGGGGUGUGUUUCCAAACUUUCAUCAAACAUGCCACUUUUUUUACCACACCAUCUUGGUGCCAUGCCAUUACGUCAAGCAAGGUUUCAUGUGUUUCUGAUCAUUUUUUAAUUUUUGGAAUUUAAAUGCCAUGCCACUCCAUGCUUUGUGUCCAAGCCGCGAGACCAACAUGUUUGAAAAUUCCUUCCAAUUUACUGCACAUGGAAUUAGCUCGCACACAAGUACACAAAUCUGAUUUUUCAAACCGUUAUGGUUAGCUGUUGCAUGUAGAUGUAGUUCAAAUUUGAAUUGCGGUCAUUAAAUGGCUAGAAAAUCACUUCAAUGUCUUAAAAAGGUCAAAUGACCCCUGGAAUUUUCCAAAUUUUGACAUGACAGUUGUAUUAGUGCAUGUUAACUGUAGAAAAAAAAUUGAAGGCCAUAAGAGGAAGCUAUCACUCGUUCGUCAUUAAACAUGCAUUGUUCGUUCUCGGAACCACGAGCCUUCUAGUGAGUCGCUCGUUCGUCAUUAAACAUGCAUUGUUCCUUGUGUUCUUUGUGUUGUGAGUUCGUCGAGUUCGUCCGCGAGAUCUUAGUGAGCUAGGGCGUAGAUCGGUAGGGAGGAAAUCUCCGCGCGCACCCCAGUGUUCGAACCAUGAGGGUUUUGCCGGAUCCCGUGAUCCGACAUUUUGCGCGCCAGGUAGGGGUGCGCCGAAGCUUCCUUUCCGUCGUUCGCGUCCAGUUGCUCCGCCGUCUCCAUAGCGAACGCUCGCCGUGCUCGUGCUGAGCGUCGGGCUGCCCUAACCACCCGCGUCACUCGAACAGCUCCCGUUGGUGGGCCACCUCAUCGUUCUCCGUCUCCUACUGCCAACGACGCCACCGGUGUAACGCCCACGAUGCGGCUAUAUCUCCCACGUGUCGAGGCACGACUUAGAGGCAUAACCGCAUAGUGGUUUUGUCGCAAGAAGGGUCAUCUUCACACAAUCCCAUGUAAUGAACAAGAAUGGAAUAAAGAGUUGGCUUACAAUCGCCACUUCACACAAUACAUAAAUAUCAUUCAUACAUCAUCCAAAAUACAAUCAUAUAGACCGACUACGGUCAAAAUCCAGAUGAAAAUAAGACAACCCCAAAUGCUAGAUCCCCGAUCGUCCCAACUGGGCUCCACUACUGAUCAUCAGGAAAAGACAGAUAAUAACGACCACGUUCCUCGUCGAACUCCCACUUGAGAUCGACGCCAUCAUCUGCACUGACAUCGUCGGCACCUGCAACUAUUUUGGAAGUAUCUGUGAGUCGCGGGGACUCAGCAAUCUCACACCCGCGAGAUCAAGACUAUUUAAGCUUAAAGGACAAGGAGGUGCAAAGAGGUGGAGCUGCAGCGGCAAAAGCAUAUAUGGUGGCUAACUUGCGCAUAUGAGAGCGAGAAGAGAAGCAAUGGAACGGACAUCAUCUAGCAAUGACCAAGAAGUGAUCCUGAACACCUACUUACGUCAUACAUAACACAGACCGUGUUCACUUCCCGGACUCCGCCGAGAAGAGACCAUCACGGUUACACACGCACUUGGUGUAUUUUAAUUGGGUCAAGUGACAAGUUAUCUACAACCGGACAUUAACAAAUUCCCAUCUGCCUCAUAACCGCGGGCACGGCUUUCAAAAGAUAAUACCCUGCAGGGGUGUCCCAACUUAGCCCAUCAUAAGCUCUCACGGUCAACGAAGGAUAAACCUUCUCCCGGAAAGACCCGAUCAGUCUCGGAAUCCCGGUUUACAAGACAUCUCGACAAUGGUAAAACAAGACCAGCAAAGCCCCCGAAUGUGCCGACAAAUCCUGAUAGGAGCUGCACAUAUCUCGUUCUCAGGGCACAACGGAUGAGCCAGACGUCGGGUUGGCAUAGACCCUGGUUGCCCAGGGGGCGCCGGACAUCGCUCGGUUUGGGCCAGCACUCGAAGGAGCACUGGUCCGGGGGUUUAAAAUAAGAUGACCCUCGGGCUCGCGAAAACCCGGGGAAAAAGGCUUAGGUAGCAAAUGGUAAAACCAAGGUUGGGCCUUGCUGGAGGAGUUUUAUUCAAGGCGAACUGUCAAGGGGGUCCCAUAAAUCACCCGACCGCGUAAGGAACGCAAACUCAAGGAACAUAAUCCCGGUAUAACAGUAACUAGGGCGGCAAGAGUGGAACAAAACACCAGGCAUAAGGCCGAGCCUUCCACCCUUUACCAAAAUAUAUAGAUGCAUUAAUUAGAUAAGAGAUAUUGUGAUAUCCCAACAUAUCCAUGUUCCGACAUGGAACAAACUUCAACUUCACCUGCAACUAGCAACGCUAUAAGAGGGGCUGAGCAAAAGCGGUAACAUAGCCAAACAACGGUUUGCUAGGAAAGGAUGGUUAGGGCUGACAUGGCUAAAAUGGGAGACAUGAUAUAGCAAGAGAUAGGUAGCGAGCAUGGCAAUAGAGCGAACAACUAGCAUAGCAAAGAUAGAAGUGAUUUCGAGGGGUGGUCAUCUUGCCUGCAAGAUUCUCAGAGUUGUCGAAAGCUUGAUCCUCGUAAGCGUACUCGACAGGUUCCUCGUUCACGAACUCGUCUCCCGGCUCUACCCAAGACAAGAACACAAACAAACGGAACCACAAUCAACAACGAGAAAUACGCAAGCAACAUGAUGCAAAACAUGUAUGAUAUGCAAGAUAUGAUAUGCGAUGCAUAUGCGUGCUCCGGAAGGAAAAUGAUGAACAUGGCAGUAACUUGGCAAACCAAGCAUGCCACUGGAAAGAUGAGAUGAUUUCGGUCGAAAUCGAUAUAAAGAUCACCGGAAUCGGAUGCACGGUUGCAAAUGGCAAGCAAAACAAGAAUGACACGAAUCUGCGAUUAACAGCAAGAUAGCAUUUAAAAUGCAACAAGUAACAAUGCUACAGCACCCCAACAUAGCAACAAAGCACAUGACAGUAAUCUACAGGAGAUGCUUGACAAAAGAUCAACACUGAGCUACGGCUAGUUCACAACAUAUCAAGCUCAAACAAGCAUGGCAAAAGUGCAAACGAUUACAGGUUCACAGACUUGGUGAAAAACUGGACAUGGCAGUAAACAGCAUCAGGUAGCAAUGUUCAGAGCACGGAAUCAACAUGCUACAGGAACUUAACAUAGCAAAGCAAGGCAUGGAAGUGUUCUACUAAAUGCACAUGACAAAAGUCCCUUACUGACCAAAAGCCAAAAAGGACCAGAAGAUAUGAUGGCAAGCACGUAACCAUAGCAAGUUUCGUUAUCAGGUUCAAGACUUAGCAGAAAACAGAGCAUGACAGAAAUAUUAAUAUGUAGGCCUCUUUGUGAGCUUGAUGCACUCACUACAGAGCAAUGCAUGACAAACCAAGCAUACCUGAAGCAAGAUGGCAUGUUUAUAAAGCUAUCCAUGGCAAGAACAAAUACAUAGCAUGAAUGGAUCAACUACAAUAAGCUUGGCAAAAAUGCAUAUCAUGUUAAGAAUCUGCCAGAAAUAUUUUAUAGCAAACGUAGAGCAAGAUUGAGUCAUGCUAUGGCACUCCAUAAUUGCAAACAAUUCAAGGAAUGGAUCUAUUACAACUAUAUCUACAAAACAUCCUUACUGAACAUCUGCAAAAUAUGCAUGUAUCUCUCUCUAGCAUCAAGUUUACAUGGCAACAAAAUUACAGCAGACAAAGACUUCGAGAAAUCAGUGUCCCUGAAAUCAGAAAUAUUACGGAGCCUACUUUGCAUGCUUGUGCUAGUCACCACAGAGAUCACACAAAUACAAGGACUACACCACUGGAAAGAUGGCAUGGCAUAAUUCAAAACGCAUGUAGAGCUCAUGCUCAAAAGAUCCACAGAUUUAAUGAUACAAAAAUGAUAAAUCUCCAAGUUCUGCUAAGAACCAGAGAUUAACAGCAACUAGCCCUCUUCCAAUGAAGAUUUGGGCAUCAAUAUGACCUCUAAUAAACAUGGUGCAAUUAAACAAAAUGAAGAGCAUCACGAUGCGAACAAUUUGACAUAUUACACGCGCGAAUCGGAGCUACAUGCACAGAGUUAUCGCAUCGGGAAUAGAGCAAGAUGCUAAAUUUUUUUCCAGACUUAGAAAAUAAAAAGGGGCUCGGGGUCAACGGGAACAAUACCACUCCCGAUCGGAUCUGGCUCGUCGGCCACAGGAGCUCGCCGGCUCGGGCUGCCGGAGGAGGAGAAGGGACCGGCUGGGCGACGGCCGGCGAGGGGGGGCCGGAGGCCGGAGGAGAUGGCCGGCGGGGAGGCGCGGCGGCGNNNNNNNNNNNNNNNNNNNNNNNNNNNNNNNNNNNNNNNNNNNNNNNNNNNNNNNNNNNNNNNNNNNNNNNNNNNNNNNNNNNNNNNNNNNNNNNNNNNNNNNNNNNNNNNNNNNNNNNNNNNNNNNNNNNNNNNNNNNNNNNNNNNNNNNNNNNNNNNNNNNNNNNNNNNNNNNNNNNNNNNNNNNNNNNNNNNNNNNNNNNNNNNNNNNNNNNNNNNNNNNNNNNNNNNNNNNNNNNNNNNNNNNNNNNNNNNNNNNNNNNNNNNNNNNNNNNNNNNNNNNNNNNNNCGGUUGGCCGGGCGGCGGGGCGGACGUUGUCCGGCGGCGCAGAGGGAAAAUUCUAGGGUUUGGACUGCGGUUGUAAUUCGGGAUGCCCACAUAUUUAUAGGUAGAGGGAGCUAGGAGGCUUCAAAUGAGGUGCGGUUUUCGCCCACAUGAUCGUGAUCGAACGACCUAGAGCAUGGAAGAGAGUUUGGUGGGUUUUGGGCUGGUUUUGGAGGGGGUUUUUGCUGGAUACUCAAAUGGACUUUGCGGAUGCCCGGUUAACCGUUGGAGUACCAAACGAUCUCCGAAUGGAACGAAACUUGACCGGUAGUCUCCGGGUGGUAUAUUAAGGCCACUUGACAAGUCUCGGUCCAUUCCGAGAAAGUUUGACACACGCACACGAAAGAAAAUUAGAGGGGUGCACUAGAGGAGAUAGGAGCGCCGGAUUGGAAAACGGACAACGGGGAAAAUGCUUGGAUGCAUGAGACGAACACGUAUGCGAAUGCAAUGCACAUGAUGACAUGAUAUGAAAAUGCAUGACAUGACAAAAUACAAAACGAAAGACAAAACCCGACAACGGAGGGAAAAACAUAUCACAUAGCCGAAAAUGGCAAGAGUCGGAGUUACAAAUAUGGCAAGUUACAUGCGGGGUGUUACAACCGGCCCGGCGGGGAAUGAGCAGCAUGCGUCCUCGUUGCACCCCUCGGUGCGGCAGGACGGCCGCACCACCACUCCAUCGCUGACCCCGGCCAGUUCCUCAUCCCACGCUCGUUGCGCUCCCAUGGACGCACGGGCCGCGCUCCUCAUGGCACACGAGCUCCUGCGCUACCGCCCGGUCGACGACCUCUAAGAGGACUGGCUUGACCGCAUCGCCGAGCUUGUCCGCGCCGUAGGGGGCUCCCCUGUGUCGUCCCGCUCACCGCCAGGCCCUCCGCCAGCUUCAGGCGACGCAGCUCACGGAGCGCCUCCACCGCCUCUGCCCCAAGAUGGCGCCUUGGCACCAAGGCGUGCGCCACCGCGACGCGAUCCGCCGCGUCCGGCGCCCGCGCGUGAAGAAGAAAGCUGCCAAGAAGUUCCUCGACCGCAAGAGAAUGCUCCGCCACUCCUCGCACCACCGCGCCAGGAUCAUCUGCCGCGGCAGGUCCCCGCGCCACUUGCCAUAGCAGCACGUGGGCGUCAAGACCAAGCUCCACCUCCAAGACGGGCCCCGGCGACCACAGCCGGCUGCCGCGCCUUCACCCCCGAGCUGCGUAGCGUCGCUUGGCCGCGCAAGUUCAAUCCAGAUCUGCCUCCUCGCUACGACGGCACCCUCGACCCCGCAGAGUUCUUGCAGCUCUACCAGCUGAGCAUCGAGGCAGCCAAUGGCGACGAGAAAGUCAUGGCGAACUGGUUCCCUAUGGCACUCAAAGAUGGCGCCCGUUCGUGGCUCCUGAACCUGCCUCAGGGCUCGAUCUCCUCCUGGGACGAGAUGCGCGACCGCUUCGUGGCCAACUUCCAGGGCACUCGCGACCGCCCGCCGGCCGCGGGUGACUUGCGCCGCAUCAAACAACAACCAGGAGAGACCCUCCAGAAGUACAUCCAGCGCUUCAACCACACUCGCCUAAAGAUCCCCAAGAUCACCGACGAGGCCAUCAUCUCCGCGUUCUCUGACGGCGUCCGCGACAUCAAGAUGAAGGAGGAGCUCGCUAUCCACGAGGAGCUGUGCACAUCUCAGGAGCUGUUCAACCUGGCGACCAAGUGCGCAAGAGCUGAGGAAGGGCGACUCUCCCUCCUCGAGCUGCCAGCUGCAGGCCCGGAGGAGAAGAAAGCCAAGGCCAAGGACGUGAAGCGCAAGGAAUCAGCCGUGCUCGCAGCGGAGCCGGACACCAAGCGAGGCAGAGAUCAGCCCGAGUCAUCCAAGAGCAGCCGACCGUUUUGCGCCUUCCACAACCUGAACACCCACAACACCAGGGACUGCCAAGAGCUCCGAGCCAUUCGUGAAGGACGCUUCGGUCAAUGCCCGGAGCGCAGCGACCGGGGCUACAGCCGAGGGGGAGGAUGUGGAGGCGGACGCUGGGACGACCGUGGCCCGCGCCAGGAGUGGCGCGACCGGCCUCGUGAGGACCGCUGGCAGGAUCAUCCUCGCGAGGGCGCCUGGAGGGACCAGCCUCGUGAGGAUCGUCCUCAGGGCAACGCCAAUCUUCCCCCGCUGCCGCCACCGCCAAGAAGGAAUGACGACCACCAUCAGGACGAGGGGGCUUCCAGGAGCCGCGCGCUAUCGCCUGCAUCUUGGGCGGAGCCGAGGCCCCAGCCUCGCAGCAUAUCUUCAAACAGUUUGCUCGUGAAGUGAAUGCAUUCCUCCCCAAGCUUGAGGCCACGCGCCCGCUCAGGUAGUCCAAGUGCGCCAUCACCUUCAACUCGGCAGAUCAGCUCAAGUGCGCAGCCACCGCUGGCGCUCUCCCAAUGCUUUGUUCACCAGUUAUCAGCAACGUGCAAGUCACCAAGACCCUCAUCGACGGCAGCGCAGGGCUCAACAUCCUGUCCGUCGACACGUUCGACAACCUCCAGGUGCCAUAUGAUCAGCUUCAGCCCACCAAGCCUUUCUCAGGAGUGACCGAUGGCUCCACCACACUGAUAGGGCAGGUCCGCCUCCCUGUCACCUUCGGAGAACGCAAAAACUACCGCACCGAGCUCAUCGACUUCGACGUCGCGCACAUCCGUCUGCCAUACAACGCCAUCCUAGGGUAUCCAGCCCUGGCCAAGUUCAUGGCAGUGACCCACCACGGCUACAACGUCCUCAAGAUGCCGGGAAGCGGCGGAAUCAUCAUGGUCCCAUGCGAAGAAAGAGACGCGGUGUGCUUCCUCGAGUGCGCCUUUCAAACUGCAGCAAUCGACGACCCCGAAAGCAAGGGCGAGGGCCCUCCGGAGGCCAUUCCUAAGAAGAAGAAGCAGCUGCGCUAUGCAGGACCUCAGGAGGAUGGCCUCGCGGCCGGAACCUCGUCAGGAUCUGCGCCCGCUCCAGGGGCGCCUCCCUCCAUCGCGUAGGAAGGCGCGCCCAGCGCCCUCCUCGUGCAGGGCUCGGGGAGAGGGCCUCAGACCUUUCCAACAUCACGAGGGGAAGCUCGGGCACCAGUUGGAGGCGUGUUCCAUGGCCUGUUACCCUCAGGGGGACACAGGGCAAGGAGUGCCCACCGCUCAGGAGUUCAUCACCAAGACCGCUGAGGAACUGCAAGACGCAAGGGCCAUGCGCGGUGACCGCCGCUCACAAGGCGCAGCUCCCCAUCCAGGUGAGGAUGCCGGACUGCGUGUCUGCAUCGACGUCCCAGGUCUCAACUGGGCCGCUUCUCAGGAGCUUUUCUGGCCUUCGCACGUGGGCCGUUGCGAGGGUCCACCACACAGCUACGUUCGCAUGCCUUUUGGCUUGCCGAGGGUGUUGUUCGUCUAUCAGCGCAACCUGCAGCGCUCCCUGGCUUCUCAGGAGGCCAGGCACCGCGCCAUUCUGGCGGAAAUGGAGACGGUCCUCAAGGAACCGCCUGAGCCCCCAGAGCCCCCCGAGGCUCAGGGCCCCGGUGGCUCGUGAGGAGCGACCCCAUCCCCGCGUACCUUCAGCUGCUCCGACGUCCCUUCAUCAACAGAACGAGGUGAUAUUUUCCGAGUUCAUUCAGCUGGGAGCGCCCCUCAGGCUGCAUCAUUCCCAGGCCGCGUGGGUCCGUCCCUGUGGCAUGUAUCCCUUUUUGCUUACUCCUUUAGCUUACCUUGCUGGGGGCGCCCCUCGGGCUGCAUCAUCCCCAAGCCACUCGGGCCUGACUCGGUGGCAUGUAUCUUUCUGCAUUUACCCAAGCUGGUCUGCUCUUGAUGCUUAACCUAUCCAUGACUGUUGCCUGCUCGACUAUCACCUCCCAUGGGGCUACUCACACUGGCACGACGCUGGUGCAUGGGUCCGUCCCUGCCACGUUGUCGGUGUCAAAACCGGCGGAUCUCGGGUAGGGGGUCCUGAACUGUGCGUCUAGGAUCGAUGGUAACAGGAGACGGGGGACACGAUGUUUACCCAGGUUCGAGCCCUCUCUAUGGAGGUAAUACCCUACUUCCUGCUUGAUUGAUCUUGAUGAAUAUGAGUGUUACAAGAGUUGAUCUACCACGAGAUCGUAAUGGCUAAACCCUAAAAGCCUAGCCUAUGAAUAUGGUAAUGAAUGUCCCCUAUACGGACUAUGCUCUCCGGUUUAUAUAGACACCAGAGAGAUCUAGGUUACAUGGAGUCAGUUACAUAAGAAGGAAUCUUCACAGCUGGUCACCUAGCUUGCCUUCCACGCCAAGGAGAGUCCGAUCCGGACACGAGUAUGGUCUUCAAUCUUCAUGUCUUCACAGCCCAUCAGUCCAGCCCAUGGAUAACAGGCCGGGCGCCCGAGGACCCCUUAGUCCAGGACUCCCUCAGUAGCCCUUGAACCUGGCUUCAAUGAUGAGGAGUCCGGCGCGCAGAUUGUCUUCGGCAUUGCAAGGCGGGUUCCCCUUUUUUCCGAACUCCAAGAUAUUCUUCGGACAUGAUGAUUGUAUCCGGACCUGUUAUACACCACACACAACCGCAGAGAGAAUAUAAUAUUUGCACGAAUCUAAUCUGUUGACAGCUUCUUUACAACACGACAUCACGUCUGUCCGGUUAUAAUUUUGAACCGUUUUUCUUCUGCCAUCCCACGUUUCGAGACGCGGUUGCCAUUGGUAUGUCUCGUCGAAGCAGAGAUCGUGCCCCCUUAUUGCGGGAUUCUCAUCAAUGCGGGCAUGGGUAACCCAACCGUGCCGUUUGCACAGCCCUUGGGAAUAGGCGAAUCUUAAGGCGAGUGAGGAGGCGUUUAAUGUUUGCUGCCUUUAUAAGAGGAUAAGGAUUCCCUCUUCCUCUUCUCACGCUUUCUCUCUGUCUCCGCCUUCCCGAUCUGGAGCUCCAGCGCCCAAGUUCUCAUCUCCUUUCCACUCAAGCAACCAUGUCCAGAUCCGGUGGUCAGGGCAAGUGGAUGGUCUCCUCCGUCAAGGAGGAGGACAUUACAGAGCUCCGGGCGGCCGGAUAUUUGGCGAAGGAGAUCGCCCACUGCUUGCCAGCCGAGGGACAAGUCGUCCCCACGCUGGAGCCCACAGAGAGGGUAGUAUUCAUCCCUCAUUUCUUCCGCGGGCUAGGGUUUCCACUCCACCCUUUCGUCCGCAGGCUGAUGUAUUAUUACGGGGUAGAUUUCCAUGAUCUGUCCCCGAAUUCCUUCCUCAACAUCUCGGCGUUUAUCGUCAUGUGUGAGGCCUUCCUCCGCAUCCAUCCCCACUUCGGGCUGUGGCUCAAAGUCUUCAACGUGAAGCCGAAGUUGGUGGAUGGCCAGCACGCGGAGUGCGGAGGAGCCAUGGUGAGCAACCUCUCCAACGUCUCCUGGCCCAAAGGCACUUUUGUGGAGAUAGUAAAGGAAUGGCAGAAGCAGUGGUUCUACAUCACAGAACCUCGCGGCACCACCUGGGCCGCGGCUGCCGAAUUCCGCCCCGAUGCUCCCAUGCGACUCACCUCCUGGGUCGAGAAGAGUCUGGGCUGGUGUUCACCCGACGAGCUGAUAGCGCUGUAGACGCGCGUUCAAAGCAUGGUGACCAAGAACGUCAAGCUUGUUGAUGUCAUCCAGGUGAUGCUGGUCCGCCGGAUUCUUCCGUGCCAGCGCCGAAGCCGCCCUUUGUGGGAGUUCAAUUCGAAGAAGCACCAGACCUUGAAAAGGCUCUUUGAGACUUCUCACGAAGGGGCCUGGAAGUUGCUCUUUAAGGGCAACGAGAAGCCACCGGCCACGGACUCAGACCGUGGUCACGAUUGUAAACACCCCGCCAGCGAGGUAUAUUUUUUCUGACGUACCCUGACUUAAAUGUUUUCGAGGAUGAUAUCUAAGUUUUUAUUAUUGCUCUUUCAGGAUUGGAUGGAGAGGGCGAGGCGGAUCUAGUGUCCGGCCCCGCUGCCCGAAGAGCCUCUCAUCCCGCGCCUGGCGAAGAUGCUGGUGCUGGCGCCAUAUAAGGCGCUGGAGAAGAAGGCCAAGGGGGCAAAGAGUGGCCCCCGUCGCAAGGGCACUCCAGACGUGACAUCCGAAGACGACGAAGCUCGUUCCUCUGUCCCUGAGGACAAUGACGAGGAAGAGGGGGAGGAGGAGGAGGAGGAGGAGGAGAACAACCCUCCCCCCGAGGAGAAGAAGAAGAGGGCGGCUUCGGCGCGUCUGGAGGGGGAGACGCCCAAGAAGGGGAAAGGCGCCCCAGCGGUCAACACCGCAUGGGAUGUCAAGAGUAGUUCGGAACGACGCCCCCGUACUAAGCCCGAGGUCGCAUCGUAAGUGACGUGGCUUGCUCGUGCGCACAUCCGGCCCUUUCUCUCCAUUUAUCUUUGACAUAGUUUAACUGUACUAUUGCAGUCCGACCCAUGACCUUGUCCAACGAUCCUCAUCUGAAGGUUUGUUGGCUCCGUCGGAGAUGGCGAGCCAAUCGCCACCACCUGCUUACUCUCCCGGGGCUAGGGACGACACCGAAGUGCUGUCUCGGAGGGCCGAUCCGAGCCGGGGAGGAGCCCAGGACGCUGUCCGGGAGGCGCCACGAGGCGAAGCCUCCACUGGCGGACACAUGGAGGAGACAAUCCCCAUGGAGACUGGCGAAGAGGGCCGCAUCCAGUUUGGCCCUCAGCCGAAUACGUUUCUGGAGACCCAUAUGGCUCCGGAGUUGGGCGAGCAGCCCCCUUUGAAGGAGGGGGGGGGGGUGCACCGCUUCCGCCGGUGGUCCCUGUCCAUCCAGGCGCGCCGGACAACCUGAUGGAGGCGCUACGAGGCGCCUCCGUUAUGGACGAGCACCGUGUCUUUAUGGGCGCGGUGAUUGAGAAGGUUCAGUCCGCCAAGAGUGGACUGAACGACGCCUGCAGCAACCUGUUGACAGGUUUCGAGGUAAGUGACAUAGAAAGAGAAAAAACCCCUGUAGUCAGUAGCCCCUGAGACACGAUCCGGUGUUCAGCUAGAAGAACCGGACAGAGGAUCUAUUGUAGGAGACUAACGUAGCAUGUAUGCAUAAGCAGGCGUCGCUGUUGGCCGCAACCUCGCAUGCUGCCGAAGUCUCUGAAUUGAGGCGGAGGCUGGAGCAGAUCGAGGACGAGCUCGGCGAGGUUAGGGUUCGGCUCUAGGAGAAGCAAGAUGAAUAACGACUUGCUGUAUGUUCAGAAAGCGUAGGCGAUGUAUAUUGACUGUAGUGUCGUAAUGUGUGCCGGAGCCGCGACCGAAGUCGAGGCCCUGAGGAAGGACCUGGGUGAGGCUGAGGAUAAAGCUGUCCAGCAGCAAGCCGCCCGUAAGAAGCUCGAGGCCCGGGUCAAAGAAAUCCAGCAGGAGCUCCAGGAUGCGGUGAAAAAAUGUGAGACCUUGGAGCAUGAUGCGUCGGCUCAAGGGGCCAAACUCACCAAGGUUCGUCAGAGGACGGAAUGAGGCCUAGGCCACCCUCCAGGAGAUCCAGGAGGCCAAGAAGGUCGCGGCGGGUAAGGCUUUUAAGAUGCAAAGCAAGUGUGCGGCGAAGCAGUACCUUUUACUAACCCGAGUUAGGAGUUCCCCAGGGGCUUUUGCGGAUCUACCACGCAGCGUAUCAGACGCUGCGGAGUUCUAUCGAGCCGAAGGAGGAGGCUCUACUGAGAGGCUAUUCUGGUCACAGUAUGCGACGCCAGAGCAUCCCGUGUCCUUCACCGAUCAGCUGAAGCAGCUGGUGGAGCUGCACCGGGUAGCCGAACUAGCCAUGAAGGAUGUGAUGAUCCGGCUAUGGCCAGCCGAAGCUAUGCCCAGCAACUACUUUGGACUCAUGAGGCGUCUGGUGGAGGCCUGUCCGUGGCUGGAUGUCGUCAAGCGCUCUGCCUAUAUUGAAGGUGCCCAUAUGGCCUUCGCUCGCUGCAAGAUGUGGUGGGCGAAGAUGAACGCUGUUGAAGUUGCCAGUGGGCCGCCAGAGGGCAAGGAGCACCGCACACCCGAGCGAUAUUUCGCGGAUGUCGUAGAGGGGUCUCAACUUGUGGCGGCGCAAUGUUCACAGGACAUUGUAUUUGAAUAAAUGUAUUCAUGUUGCCCUUGCCUUGUAUUAUGGGAACAAAGCCGGUUUUGUAAAAUAAUUUUAUUAUGCUUUGAAUUGUUUCCUCCUGUGCGGCCGUCUUAUUUGUAAUCUGAGGGUUGGCCAGUCGUCGGCUUCUUCCCUCGCGUAGAUAGUACAGAGGUGUUCGGGAUGGAUUCUAAACAAUCUUGAUCCAAUUAUAUGGUCCUUUGGAGGAGUUGUUUAGCGCAACGAACAAGGCAAUCAGACUGUAAGGCUUAAGCGCCCUCACUUAGCCAUAGGAGUUUUAUAAUUAAGCAAGUGCGCAGCCCCUGGUCCAAGCCAGGGUGCUAUCAGCAUCUGAUCGGGAAGUGCCGAUCCUUCGCAUGACGUGCAAAAAAUCUCCAACGAUUUUGUAACCCUCGAACAGCUGACCCGCUCUCGCCGUAUCAUGACAGUCAGUUUUCGGCUUUCUCUACUGAGGUGCUCAUCCGGUCAAGGCCAGGGCACAAUCGCAGUAGUUCUCCCUUUACUACCCUAGCCGAUAGAGUGGAACGUAGGGUAGCAAGCACAGGAGCCGGGCAACACAACUAUUGACCAAAGAAAUGAUUCGGAGCCAAUGCAUAUAAUGCUAAAUUCGAGGUGCCGAACUUAUGUAUAAAAAGUGUUCGGACUUUGCUGCCGUAUUGUGGGGCGAUAAGUAGCCCCUGGCGAAUAUGAAACGUACAGAAGAGUACCGAUGCAGCAAAUAAGCAGAUCGAAAUAAAACGAAGUAAGAAGUGAAAACCACAGAAACUGGGCCACGAACCAUUUUUAUUAGAACUGGAUGGAUACGUCAAGGCGUAUCUUGUAUAGAUGGUGCGAGGAGUAUCCGGGCUAUUUAACAUGCUGGAAUCAGUAGGGUGCAGCGUGUGGGUCCUGAGAAAUGAGUAUGAAUACCGUCAAGAAGAACGUAUAAAGGUUACCCUACACACCUAUGCUGCUUGCCUCCGUUGUAUGCCAAUCCUUCUAAAGGACUUGCGAUCAGGCCCGCAAAAAAAAGGGAACCUGAAACAAAAAAAGUUAAAGUAUGUAUAUCCGGGAUCGUUCUAGCCGAACUGUAGCCCCCGGGUUAUUUUGUGCCUCCAUCGAUGUCCAUGGAAUUUUGAGUGCGUAAUUGUGUACGUGUGGUGCGAAUGCCACUACCUCAUUGGGACUGGGACGGAGGCCGAAUUGCUAGUCGAGCUCUUGAUGAGCCGCGGCGUUCUAUUGCGGUGUAGUCCGGAACCUCUUAAUGAUGUCCGAGGGCUCAACAGCCGUACUAUGGUGCUGCUUGAGAAGGCCGCUAUGUACUUCCGCUGCUAGGGCGGCGGUGUGCUCCUCUGUUUGGAGGGAGCGUUCCGUAUUGCCAUUGACUGUUAUGACGUCGCGUGGACCGGGCAUCUUGAGCUUGAGAUAAGCGUUGUGUGGCACUGCGUUGAAUCUAGCAAACGCGGUUCAUCCGAGCAGUGCGUGAUAGCCGCUGCAGAAGGGGACGAUAUCGAAUAUUAGCUCUUCGCUUCGGAAGUUGUCCGGAGAACCGAAGACCACCUCCAGGGUGAUUGAGCCCGUACAGCGGGCCUCUACGCCUGCAAUGACUCCUUUAAAGGUAGUCUUUGUUGGUUUGAUUCGUGAGGGGUUAAUGCCCAUCUUCCGCACUGUGUCCUGAUAAAGCAGGUUGAGGCUGCUACCACCGUCCAUCAGGACUCAUGUUAGGUGAAACCCAUCAAUAAUUGGGUCGAGGACUAGUGCGGCUGAACCGCCAUGGCGGAUACUGGUUGGGUGAUCUCGACGAUCGAAGGUGAUCGGGAUUGAUGACCAUGGAUUGAAUUUUGGGGCGACUGGCUCUACCGCGUUGACGUCCCUAAGUGCUCGCUUACGCUCCCUUUUGGGGCGUAGCGUAUAUCAUGUUCACCGUUUUGACUUGAGGGGGGAAUUUCUUCUGCCCUCCGGUGUUCGGCUGCCGGGGCUCUUCGUCCUCGUCCUCACUUUGUGAUCCCUUUUCUUUGUUUUCGGCAUUUAACUUGCCAGCCUGCUUGAAGACCCAACAGUCCCUGUUGGUAUGAUUGGCUUGCUUAUCCGGGGUGCCAUGAAUUAGGCACGGACGGACGGGUAUGCGGUCCAGGCUGGAAGGUCCUUCGUUGUUUCUUUUGUAGGGCUUCUUCCGUUGGCCGGACUUGGAGCCACUGAAUCCGGCGUUAACUGUGGUGUCAUCGGUGUUGUCGCCAUUGCUUCGGCGUUUGUGUCUAUUGCACCGGAGCUUGCCGGUGCUGUUUUUGGCCUCAGUGGGGCCUGCCUCGUUGGCUAUGUUUUUACUACGAGCCAGCCAGCUGUCCUCACCUGCGCAAAAGCAGGUCAUGAGUGCCGUGAGGGCUGCCAUAGACUUCGGCUUUUCUUGGCCGAGGUGGCAUGCUAGCCAUUCGUCACAGAUGCUGUGUUUGAAGGCUGCUAGGGCCUCGGCAUCCGGACAGUCAAUGAUCUGGUUCUUUUUGGUUAGGAACCUAGUCCAGAAUUUUCUGGCUGAUUCACCAGGUUGUUGAACUAUGUGGCUUAAGUCAUCGGCGUCCGGUGGCCGGACAUAAGUUCCUUGGAAGUUAUCAAGGAAAGCCUCUUCCAAGUCUUCCAGCUGUCGAUGGAAUUCUCGGGCGGGCUAUUUAACCAAUGCCGAGCUGGCCCUUAGCUUUAAUGGGAUGUAUUUGAUGGCGUGGAGGUCAUCUCCUCGAGCCAUAUGGAUAUGGAGAAUGAAAUCCUCGAUCCAUACUCCGGGAUCGGUUUUGCUGUCGUAUGAUUCGAUGUUGACAGGCUUGAACCCCUCGGGGAAUUCGUGAUCCAGUACUUCAUCUGUGAAGCAGAGAGGGUGUGCGGCCCCUCUAUAUCGGGCCGUGUCGUGGCGUAGCUCUGAUGGAGUCCGUCUGCGGUAUUCGGCCCGGGCAUGGUUAGGUUUAUCACGUCCGAAUAUGUAGCUGUCGUCGUGCCUCGAGGCACGCCCUCGCGAUUCGUAGAUCGAUCUUGUAUGUCCUGCUCUAUCAUCUAGGAUCUGCCGGAGGUUGUACGUGUGACCCCGAACUCUUCCGUCUCUAUUUUUACGAGGCGGUGGGGCAGGCUGCUGUUCGGCCUGAGUUGCCGCUUUAUCCCGGCCGCGGGGUGGCCGGUCGGCCGCCCUGUCCCGACCACGUGGUGGUCGUUCCGCAUUAUGCGAGGGAGAUGUGUGCUCUGGUGCUUCCUCAUUGAAUUGAGGUAGCAGUCUGCGUUUCGGGUAGCUCUUGGCUCCGCGCCUGAGGCUGUAUUCUUCGGCUGUCAGGACAUCAGUCCAUCUGUCGACGAGCAGGUCUUGUUCAGCUUGAAGCUGCUGCUGUUUCUUUUUCAGGCUCCUUGUAGUGGCUAUGAGCUGAAGCUUAAAGCGCUCCUGCUCCAGAGGAUCCUCAGGCACGAUGAAGUCUUUGUUGCCGAGGCUUGUCUCCUCUUCGGAGGGUGGACGGUAACUGUCGUCCUCUGAGUCAUCUUCUAUGACCUGUUCAUCAGGGUUGUCUUGCCUGUUGUCAUGUUCCUCCUGUUCGGAUGUAGCUCUGACAGGAUCUUCAUUUUUUUGGUAUCGCCUGGAGUACUAUUCUCUCCAGUGCCGGUGUUGCCGUCCUUUGAGCGACGAGGCUUAGAACGGCGCUUGGAGCGUCGGCGUUUGGACUACGUCUCAGAGGUUUUGUUCCCAUCUGGCUCUUCUUUGUCGUCGCUAGAUCCUUUGGGUGUGUCAACCAUGUACAUGUCGUACGAAGAGGUAGCCGUCCAACGUCCAGUGAAUGGCGGGUCUUGGCCUUGCUCCUGAUCGGCAUCGUCGUCCAUACCGUCCAUGUCUUUGGAGCCAUAGUCAAGCACGACGGUUAAGUCAUCGACAGUGGCUAUGAAGUGGGUGGCGGGUGGGAAGCAAAAUUCCUCGUCAUCCAUCUCUAGCUCGAACCGGACGUAGUUCGGCUGUGAGUCCUUCUCCAAGGACAAAUUCUUUAAAGAUUUUAGCACGUCACCCAAAGGGGAGUGCUAGAAAACGUCAGCGGCGCUGAACUCGAAGAUCAAUAACCGAUCUAGCUCGGUGUCCGCGGGCGUACACAGUCCGGAACGUGUAGCCGGAAACGAGUCCGGAGUUCCACUGACGCAAGUAUUGCAGGAUGUCGAGUUCGUGUGCGGCUCCAACGCCGUGGACUUUGUGGCCUCGGAGGGCACGAUCUGCUUCGGUUCUGAGGCCGUUGUAGCAACAGGAUCCAUCUCCUGGGUGUGAUCCGAUGACAAAUUUAAGUCAUGUUCAUCGGAGAGAGGGGGAGCGACUGCCGCCGUCUCGAACCCAUCGAAGAUCAAGUCUCCACGGGUAUCCGCGAUGCAGUUCAAGCUUCCAAAUCUGGCCUGAUGGCCAGGGCGUGGCUAUCGACCAGCUCCAGAUGGCCAAGCAAGUUGGCCCGCGGUACAAAAUCGCCGAACACAAAGGUUUGUCCGGGGAGGAAGGUUUCUCCCUGAAUGGCGCCGUUACUGACGAUCGAAGGGGCCAUCAAGUCCUUUGCCGACGGCACAGUGGAACUCUCAAUGAAAGCACCAAUGUCGGUGUCAAAACCGGCGGAUCUCGGGUAGGGGGUCCCGAACUGUGCGUCUAGGAUCGAUGGUAACAGGAGACGGGGGACACGAUGUUUACCCAGGUUCGGGCCCUCUCUAUGGAGGUAAUACCCUACUUCCUGCUUGAUUGAUCUUGAUGAAUAUGAGUGUUACAAGAGUUGAUCUACCACGAGAUCGUAAUGGCUAAACCCUAAAAGCCUAGCCUAUGAAUAUGGUAAUGAAUGUCCCCUAUUCGAACUAUGCUCUCCGGUUUAUAUAGACACCGGAGAGAUCUAGGGUUACAUGGAGUCGGUUACAUAAGAAGGAAUCUUCACAGCUGGUCACCUAGCUUUCCUUCCACGCCAAGGAGAAUCCAAUCCGGACACGAGUAUGGUCUUCGGUCUUCAUGUCUUCACAACCCAUCAGUCCGGCCCAUGCAUAAUAGGCCGGACGCCAGAGGACCCCUUAGUCCAGGACUCCCUCACACGUCGACAAACCUGAGCGGUCGAGCUCUGGCUCGCGGCACGCUCUACGCACGUCACCUCAUCAGGCCCUCGGUGCCUUCAUUUCCUCGCGGAGCAACCAGUGGCAGGCUGGCAGCCGUAACGGCAAACCGUGUUUCUCGUUAUGAUGGUUUGUAGGGAUCUCAUGAGGAGAAUAGCAGGCGGCACCGCGAGCAUCCUUCCCUCUCGUGCAAUCCGCUUGCGCGUUAAAAUGGGGGCUCUUGAGCAUCGCGACUCAGGAGCUCUUACUGGCUCUCCAGCCCUCACCCCUGGCCUUGACCACGGCAUCGCGACCUGGCAUACCAGCGGCGGCUGAGCUCGCUCGAGGGCCGGGACCUGAGGACGUAGAGCACUAAGGAGAACAUGGGAGGAGGGAGACUCGUAUGGGCCCGGCCUAGCUACGCUGCGGAAUCUUGCACACCAGCCUGGCGCAUCACAAGGAAUCGACCCCAAACCACCAAGAUAAGUCUCGCGCUCAGAUUUACUAAUCCUUGGAGCCUAGGUGCUACGCUCGCCGCAAACCUGUUGCGGCCACGUCACCCCCUUUCUUGCCUUACCAUGGCCGCUUGAGUGCUAAAGGGGACCUCCUGAGCAUCGCGCCUCAGGGGCUCUUACUGGACCUCGGGCCGCUCACCUCCUGGCCUUGACCAGGGCACACGACCUAGCAUACCAGCGACAGCUGCAGCCCGCCUGGGGAAUGGGACCUGUCAGCGAAGAGCAACAAGCUAUUGCAGGGUUGGAAAGGGGAGACCGAGCCUUAACAGGACAUGCGUUCACAAUUUUUCAUAGCAAGGAAUAUAUACACAGAAGACAUUACAGACUCCUUUACACACCCCCACGGGGUACUCGAUGAUCCUUCGCAGAGAACAAAAGACGAAAACCUAGAGGAAUCCUAUCUACAUCCUCCCGUGGCGGAUGCCAUCAUUAACAGUGGGCCGCGGGAGGCUGGCGCCAACCCCAUCCAGAUCAGCGACGGCGGUGGCUGGACGCCGCAGCUCGGCUCCGGGCGCGACGAGAGCUCGGGGGGACGUAGCUGUCGUCGCUCGUCUCCGGAGUAUCGUAGAGCUCAGGAGAGCCACUGGACUCCUAGGGGCCGCUGCUGCUGGAGUAGCCACGAGCAGAGCGCGCGUCGUCCUGGCACUCCCCUCCAGGGCAACACUCAAGGCGGCGGCCCACCGCGUCGAAGACCUUGAAGAAAAGCAUGGAGGCACCAUCAUACUCGAAGUGGAUCGCGAGGGCGCCCUUCGCACGGCAAACCCGCGCGACCUCGCCCCAGCCGCGGGUCAUGAAGGUCUUGCCGGAGGGGACCGCUUCGACCUCCGCUCCGGUCGCCGGAGCAUCGCAGUCAGCAUGCUGCAGCCAGAGCUCGAGGGGCCCCCUCGGCGGCAUCACGUCAGAGAAGAACCGCGGGAAUGGAUCCAAGAGCUUGGAGGCAUCGGCGCCCAUAGCACAAGCUCACGCGAGGAAUCCGCGGCGUGGAUUCCAGGAGCAACGGCACACGCCGCCAUCACACGACGACCACAGGCGCGGCGCGGGCGGCGCCGCUCAUCGCUCCCUCCUCCUGAGCCCCCGGCUUGGGCGUACAAGGGUAGCGGGUACCCUGGAGGAGGCCGCUCGCACUAAGGCCUCGUCACCACCUGCAUCGCCGCUUCGUCGCGACGAUGAACCAGCCUCUUCUUCGGCGGGAGAGGCCCCGGAUCAUCGCGGGGGGCCUUUCCUUUCUCGCCGGCGGAGAACCUUCGGAUCGGCGCCAUUGCUGUCAGCAAUGGAGUUGAGGAGGAAAGAAGCAAGCAAAGAAGGAAGAAAUGGGCGACGGGGGCUCUGCCCCCUCCCCAUUUAUAGCGGAAGAAGGCCAACCGGUGCCUCCCACGAUCACAGGUAAUGAUGGUUUUCCUUGCAUGUCGCAGGGAUUUGUCAAGUCUAGCAGUUGUCGAUGCAGCGUGGGGAAGCGGAGACACCCACGUCCAAUCAACCGCCAUGCGUCGACCAAGGCCGCAGGCUUUGGGGCCCGCGGCGCUCCGUGCUUGACCUUUGGCUUCGCCUCAAAGCCAAGCCCGAGCGCGCCUUGGGCCCGGGGGCUACUGUCGGCGUUCUGGGAACGGGGGUCCCCAGACUUGCCUGCCUGCGGCCCAUGGCAUGGCUUUGCUAGCAGGCCUUUACGGCCCAUCUUCAUCAGCGAGACGCUCAGGACCCUCGCAAGGGGCCAAGCCUCGCAGGGCGGACGACGCAAGACCUCCUCAGGAGCUGCCUCACCAGGCUGCCUCGUGAGGAGCAGUGAUAUCAAUGCAGGGCAAACCUCACGAGGCUCUCGUGACGUGAGCCAUGACGAUCAGGAUCAGGCGGGCGCCAGCGCGCGCAGCGUGCUUGUUUCCUAUUUGGUGCUAGGGAGGCAAGCGCAGGUGUGGAGUACCGAGGCAUCAUGCAAAGGUUUCCAUAUCGGUGCAACGAGACCAAGACGAGCAGGACGGAGGUCACCAUGGAGCCCAAGGCGGCGUCACCACCAGAGCCUUUUGCAGGCGAAGAUCGCUUUUGUCAGGAUAAGCUGUACUAGCUGUCCUCUUUCAAAUUGGCCGUUGUUGGCUCCCUUCCCGCUCCAUAUUUGGGAAGAGGACCAGGGCCUAUAUAAGUAGAACUAGCCACCGCUGUAGGGGCAACUCAUCUUGGAUUGGAUCCACUCCAUCCUCACACCCACAAGUUCAUAGAGCACAAGAACACCUCAACCUCGGGAGGCUGUUCUCCCCCUUGUACUCUUCAUCAUCAGCCCAAGAGGCAAUCCAUCCACCACCACACUGGAGUAGGGUAUUACACCACAACGGUGGCCCGAACCAGUAUAAACCUUGUGUUCUUUGUGCCGUGAGUUCGUCGAGUUCGUCCGCGAGAUCUUAGCGAGCUAGGGCGUAGAUUGGUAGGGAGGAAAUCUCCGCGCACACCCCAGUGUUCGAACCUUGAGGGUUUUGCCGGAACCCGUGAUCCGACAAAUACCCUACUCCAGUGUGGUGGUGGUGGAUUGCCUCUUGGGUUGUGGAUGAACAGUACAAGGGGAAGAACAGCCUCCCGAGGCAAGGUGUUCUUGUGCUUGGUGAACUUGUGUGGUUGAGGAUUACUCAAGAUGAGAUGCCUCCGAAUGAGUUAUCUCCUACAGUGGUGGCUAGUCCUAUUUAUAUAGGCCCUGGUCCUCUCCCCAAAUAUUGAGCGGGAAGGGAGCCAACAACGGCCAAUUCGAAAGGGGACAGCUAGUACAUCUUAUCCUAACAAAAGCAGUCUUCGCCUGCAAAAGGCUCUGGUAGUGACGCCGCCUUGGGCUCCAUGGUGACCUCCAUCUUGCCGUCCUGCUGGUCUUGGUCUCGUUGCACUGAUAUGGAAACCUUUGCAUGACGCCUCAAUACUCCGCGCCUGCGCUUGCCUUCUUAGCACCAAAGAGGAAACAAGGACACUGUGUGCGCUGGUGCCCGCCUGGCGCCCGCUUGGUCUCGAUCGUCAUGGCUCACGUCACGAGAACCUCGUGAGGUUUGCCUUGCCUUGAUCUCUCCGCCCCUCGCGAGCCAACCUGGUGAGGCCGCUCCCGAAGGGGUCCUGCGUCGUCCGCCUCGCGAGGCUUGGCCCCUCGCGAGGGUCUUGAGUGCUUGUUAGUGAAGAUGGGCCGUACGGGCCCGCUCGCAGAGCCAUGCCAUGGGCCGCAGGCAGGCAAGUCUGGGGAACUCUCGUUCCCAGAACGCCGACAGUAGCCCCCGGGCCCAAGGCGCGCUCGGGCUUGGUUUCGAGGCGAAGCCAAAGGUCAAGUGCGGAGCGCCGUGGGCCCCAAUAGUCUGCGGCCUUGGUCGACAUGUGGCGGUUGAUUGGACGUGGGCGUCUUCGCUUCCCCACGCUGCCUCGGCAACUGCCCGACUUGACAAGUCCCUGCGACAUGCAAGGAUAAACCAUCAUUACCUGUGAUCGUGGGGGGCGCUGGUUGCGCUUCUCCUGCUAUAAAUGGGGAGGGGGAGCGGAGCCCCCAUCACCCAUCUCUUCCCAUUCCGCUUGCUUCUCCUCCUCUGCUCCAUCGCCGACACCAAUGGCGCCCAUCCGAAGGUUUUUUGCUGCGGAGAAAGGAAAGACUCCCCUCGACGGGCCGGUGCCGCUCCCGCCGAAGAAGAGGCCGGUCCACGAUGCAGGUGGUGACGAGGCCUUGGUGCGAGGGGCCUCCCCCUGGGUAUCCGUUACCCCUGUACGCCCAAGCCGUGGGCUCAGGAGGGAGAGGCGACGAGCGUCGGCGCGUGCGGCGUGGCCAUGGUCGUCGUGCCGCGGUGGCGCGCGUCGCCGCCCCUGGAGUCCAUGCCACGGACUCCUCCCGCGAGCUCGUGCUGUGGGCGGCGAUGCCCCCAAGCACUUGGAUCCGCUUCCCUUCCUUCUUCUCGGCUGAGAUGCCGCCGAGGGGGCCCCUUGAGCUUUGGCUGUAGCACGCCGACUGCGACACGCUGGCGACUGGAGCGGAGGUGGAGGUCGUCUCCUCGGGGAAGAUCUUCAUGACCCGAGACUAGGGUGAGGUCGCCCGAGUGUGUCACGCGGAGGGCGCCCUCGCGAUCUAUUUCGUGUACGACGGCGCCUCCAUGCUGUUCUUCAAGGUCUUCGACACAGAAGGCCGCUGUUUGGAGUGUUGCCCCAGGUGGGGUCAUUAGGCUGGUGCCGCAUCUCGGGCAGGGUCUGCUGCCCGCGUCGCCAGCGGCUCCUCUGGAAGCCGCAGCGACACUUGGGAGUCCAGCGAUUCUCUCGAGCUCUACGAGACCCCGGAGACGAGCGACGACAGCUACGUGCCCCAAGCUCUCGCCGAGCCCAGAGCAGGGCUGCAGCGUCUGGCCGCCGCCGCCGAUCUGGAUGAGGUGGGCGCCAGCCUCUGGUGGCCCACUGUUGAUGAUGGCGUCGUCCACAGGGGCGCGUGUAGAUACGAUUCCCUAAGUUCUUGCCUUUUGUUCCCUGCGAGGAAUCAAGAAGUGCCCCGUGGGGGUGUGUCAAGGUUUUGUAAUGUCUAUUGCCAAUAUUGUCCUUAUUAUGAACUUGCGCGAGCGCGAGUCCUGCUCCAGCUCGGUCUCCCUUUCCGGCCUCGCGACGACUUGGUGCUCUACACUGACAGGUCCCGGUCCCCAGGCAGGCUGCAGCCGUCGCUAGUAUGCCAAGUCGUGUGCCGUGGUCAAAGGCCAGGAGGUGAGCGGCCCGAGGUCCAGUAAGAGUUCCUGAGGCUUGAUGCUCAGGAUGUCCCUUUUAGCGCUCAAGCAGCCGUCGAGAGGUAAGAAAGGGGGGUGACAUUGCUGCAGCAGGGCUGCGGUUAGUAUGGUUCAUAAUCCUUAGCGGUUUAGCCAACCCGGGCUCGGGACUUAUCUUGACGGUCCGGGGUCGAUUCCUCAUGAUGCACCAGAUUCGUGCAUAGGCGUCCGAAGCACAGCUAAGCCAGGUCCAUGCCAGCCUCCCCCCUUCUCCAUGCUCUCCUUCGUGCUCUACGUCCUCAGGUCCCCGCCCUCGAGCGAGCUCAGCCGCCGCUGGUAUGCCAGGUCGCGUGCCGUGAUCAAGGCCAGGGGGUGAGGGCUGGAGAGCCAGUAGGAGCUCCUAAGUCACAAUGCUCAGGAGCCCCCCUUUAACGCGCAAGCGGAUUGCAUGGGAGAAGAGGGAGCUCGCGGUUCCGCCUACCGGCAUCUUCAGGAGAUUCCUGCGAGCCAGCACAAGGAGAGACAAAGUUUGCCCUUAUGGUUGCCGGUCUGCCGCCGGUUGCUCCGCAAAGAGAUAAAGGCACUGAGGGCCUGGGAAGGUGACGUGCGCGGGGCGUGCCGCGAGUCAGAGCUCGACCACUCAGGUUUGUCGACGUUGCAGGGACGGACCCGAGCACAAGCAUCGUGCCAGCGUGAGUAGCCCCCGUGGCGAGUGAGAAUCGAGCAGGUGAUAGUCAUAGGUAGAUUAAGCAUGGAAAGCAUACUGACUUAAGUAAAUGAUGGGAAGCUACAUGCCACUGGGUCAGGCCGGAGCGGCUUGGGGAUGAUGCAGCCCGAGGGGCGCCCCCAGCAAAGUAAGCUAAAGACAUGAAAAGGGAUACAUGCCACAGGGACGGACCCAUGUGGCCUGGGAAUGAUGCAGCCUGGGGGCGCUCCCAGCUACAUAAACUUGGAAAAUGUCACCUGGUUCUAUUGAUGAAGGGAUGUUGGGGCAGCUGAAGGUAAGCGGCGAAGGGGUCGCUCCUCAUGAGCCACCGGGGCCCUGAGCCUCGGGAGGUGUAACACCCCGGAUGUAACUUUCCAUAUUUGUAACUCCAAUUCUUGCCAUUUUCGGCUAUGUGUUAUGAUAUUCCCUUCAUGGUCGGAUUUUGUCUUUCAUUUUGCAGUUUGUUCAUGUCAUGCAUCUCAUAUCAUGUCAUCAUACGCAUCUCAUUUGCAUACGUGUUCGUCUCAUGCAUCCGAGCAUUUUCCCCGUUGUCCGUUUUGCAAUCCGACACUCCCUCGUGCACCGGCGCACCCCUCUUGUCUCUUUUCGUGAGAGGGUGUUAAACGUUCUCGGAAUGGACCGAGGCUUGCCAAGUGGCCUUGGUAUACCACCAGUAGACCACCUGUCAAGUUUCGUUCCAUUUGGAGGUCGUUUGAUGCUCCAACGGUUAACCGGGUAACCGCAAAGUCCUUUUGUGAGUUGCAGCAAAACCCCCCUCCAAACAGCCCAAUAACCCAUCUAAGUCCCUUCCAUGCUCUCGGUCGUUCGAUCACGAUCGCGUGGGCAAAAACCGCACUCCAUUUGGAGUCUCCUAGCUCCCUCUAGCUAUAAAUAGGUGAUCCCCCCCGAAAUUUUCGCAGAUGAAACCCUAACCCUUCCCCUCUCCGGAGCCGGACGUGUCCGGUCCGGCCGGACGAAAUCGCGCCACCACCCUCGCCCAAUUCGCCGCUGCCACGUGUCCUCCCGUCCGCCUCCGCCGCCGCGGCCCGGGGAGCCCGGAUCGGGCCCUCCCGGCCCAUCUCCUCGCGCCGCCGCCCGAGNNNNNNNNNNNNNNNNNNNNNNNNNNNNNNNNNNNNNNNNNNNNNNNNNNNNNNNNNNNNNNNNNNNNNNNNNNNNNNNNNNNNNNNNNNNNNNNNNNNNNNNNNNNNNNNNNNNNNNNNNNNNNNNNNNNNNNNNNNNNNNNNNNNNNNNNNNNNNNNNNNNNNNNNNNNNNNNNNNNNNNNNNNNNNNNNNNNNNNNNNNNNNNNNNNNNNNNNNNNNNNNNNNNNNNNNNNNNNNNNNNNNNNNNNNNNNNNNNNNNNNNNNNNNNNNNNNNNNNNNNNNNNNNNNNNNNNNNNNNNNNNNNNNNNNNNNNNNNNNNNNNNNNNNNNNNNNNNNNNNNNNNNNNNNNNNNNNNNNNNNNNNNNNNNNNNNNNNNNNNNNNNNNNNNNNNNNNNNNNNNNNNNNNNNNNNNNNNNNNNNNNNNNNNNNNNNNNNNNNNNNNNNNNNNNNNNNCGCCUCGCCGUCUUCGCCGCCUCGUCGACGCUGCAACCUCAAGCCUCGCCGCCGACGCCGACGCCACAAUCCUCGCCGCCGACGCCGACGCCUCAAGCCUCGCCGCCGACUCCGCCGCCGGUUCCGCCCGCGCCCCCGACGCCGAGCUCCGCACCCCUCGUCGCCUCCUCCCUCUCCCCGAGCUCCGGCCGCCGUCGCCCUCUACCCCGGUGAACCUAGACGUCCGUGCCCCAGAUCCGAUCUGGAGAGGUUGACAUCCCCCCCGAAAUCCUCCAAGUCCCGAAGUUUUUGCAUUAUAUUGCUCUGUUCAUCGCAUCAUAUCUCAUUGCAUACUGCUCCGUUUUGCGUGCAUGAUAUAUCGAAAUGUUCGCCUCGAUAUGCUCUUCAUUUUGUUCCAUUGUGCCAUGCUCGUUUGAGUCCAUCUUGAUGCCCAAAUCUCUGGUGCAAGAGUGCUAUAUGAUGUUUACUGCUAUUACUUAUCAGAAAUUGAGGUUUUGUUAUUUUUGUUGCAUUUGAUGUGUGCAUCUUAUGGGCAUGAGAUCUACAGGUGUUUUGAUCUAUGCCAUGCCAUCUUUACAGAGGUGUAUGCCCUGUAUUUUUGUGAUCUGUGUGGUGACUCGCACAAGCAUGCAAACUAGGCUUCGUGAUGUUUCUGUUUUCAGGGACUUACGAUUUUGCUAAGUCUGUUACUGCUGUUAUUUUAUUGCCACGUAUCCAUGUGUAUACACUGAGAUCCAUGCUUCUUUUGGGUAUGUUCAGUAAGGAUGGUUUGUAGAUAUAGUUGUGCUCUUUCUAUCCAUGCCCCUGUUUGAUUAUGGAGUGCCCUAGCAUCUCUUAAUCUUGCUCUACGUUUGCUAUAAAAUAUUCCUGGCAGAUUGUUAACAUGAUAUUCAAUUUUGCCAAGGUUGUUGUAGUUGAUCCAUACAUGCUAUGAAAUUGCUCUUGCCAUGGAUAGCUUCAUAAACAUGCCACCUUGCUGUAGGUAUGCUUUUUUUGUCAUGCAUUGCUUUGUUAUGAGUGAAUCAAUCUCACCAAGAUGCCCUCAUAAUUUCUGUUAAUGCCAUGCUCUGUUUUCUGCCAAGUCUGAAACCUGUUAACGAAACUUGCUAUGUUUACAUGGGUGCCAUCAUAUCUUCUGUACCUCUUUGGCUCAUGGUCAGUAAGGGACUUUUGUUCUAUGCAUUUAUUAGAUUCAUGCAGUGCCUUUUUUUGCUAUGAUAUUUUCCUGUAGCAUGUGUUUGGCUUGCUCUGAACAUAGAUACCUGAUGCUGUUUCAGCCAUGUUCAGUAUUUUCACCAAGUCUGUGAAACUGAUAUCUUUUGCAUUUUUGCCAUGCUUGUUGGAACCUGUUAUUUUGUGAUCUAGCUGUAGCUCAAUGUUCAUCUUUUGUCAAGCAUCUUCUGUAGAUCACUUCCAUAUGCUUUGUUGCUAUGUUGCGGUGCCUUAGCAUAGUUACUUGAUGUAUUCUAAGUGCUAUCAUGUUGUUAAUCACAGAAUCGUGUCAUUCUUGUUUUGCUUGCCAUUUGCAAACCGUGCAUCCGUUUCCGGUGCUCUUUAUAUCGAUUUCGACCGAAAUCAUCUCAUCUUUCCGGUGUCAUACUUGGUUUGCCAAGUUACUGCCUUGUUCAUCCUUUUUCUUCCGGAGCACGCAUACACAUUGCAUAUCAUGUCUCGCAUAUCAUGCAUGUAGUGCAUCAUGUUGCUUGUGCAUUUCCCGUGAUUGAUUGUUGUUCCAUUGCUUGUAUUCUUGCUGUGGGUAGAGCCGGGAGACGAGUUCGUGAACGAGGAACCUGUUGAGUACGCUUACGAGGAUCAUGCUUUCGACAACUCUGAGAACCUUGCAGGCAAAAUGACCAUACCCUCGAAAUCACUUCUAUCUUUGCUUUGCUAGUUGUUCGUUCUUUUGCUAUGUUGCGCUACCUACCACUUGCUAUAUCAUGCCUCCCAUAUUGCCAUGUCAAGCCUCUAACCACCCUUUCCUGGCAAACCGUUGUUUGGCUAAGUUACCGCUUUUGCUCAGCCCUUCUUAUAGCGUUGAUAGUUGCAGGUGAAGUUGAAAUUGGUUCCAUGUUGGAACAUGGAUAUUUUUGGAAUAUCACAAUAUCUAUUAUUUAAUUAAUGCAUCUAUAUAUUUGGUAAAGGGUGGAAUGCUCGGCCCUAUGCUUGGUGUUUUAUUCCACUCUUGCCGCCCUAGUUUCCGUCAUACCGGGAUUAUGUUCCUUGAGUUUGCGUUCCUUACGCGGUUGGGUGAUUUAUGGGACCCCCUUAAUAGUUCGCCCUGAAUAAAACUCAUCUAGCAAGGCCAACCUUGGUUUUACCUUUUGCCACCUAAGCCUUUUUCCCUUGGGUUUUCGCCAGCCCGAGGGUCAUCUUUAUUUAAACCCCCGGACCAGUGCUCCUUCGAGUGCUGGCCCAAACUGGGCGAUGUCCGGCGCCCCUAGGCAAGCAGGGUCUAUGCCAACCCGACGUCUUGCCCAUCCGGUGUGCCCUGAGAUAUGUCCAGCUCCUAUCAGGAUUUGUCGGCACAUUCGGGUGGCUUUGCUGGUCUUGUUUUACCAUUGUCGAAAUGUCUUGUAAACCGGGAUUCCGAGACUGAUCGGGUCUUCCCGGGAGAAGGUUUAUCCUUCGUUGACCGUGAGAGCUUAUAAUGGGCUAAGUUGGGACACCCCUGCAGGGUAUUAUCUUUCGAAAGUCGUGCCCGCGGUUAUGAGGCAGAUGGGAAUUUGUUAAUGUCCGGUUGUAGAGAACUUGACACUUGACUAAUUAAAAUACAUCAACCGUGUGUGUAGCCCUAAUGGUCUCUUCUUGGCGGAGUCCGGGAAGUGAACACGGCUGGAGUUAUGCAUGAACGUAAGUAGUUUCAGGAUCACUUCUUGAUCAUUUCUAGCUUCGCGACCGUUGCGUUGCUUCUCUUCUCGCUCUCUUUUGCGUAUGUUAGCUACCAUAUAUGCUUAGUGCCUGCUGCAGCUCCACCUCAUUAAACCAUCCUUUCCUAUAAGCUUAAAUAGUCUUGAUCUCGCGGGUGUGAGAUUGCUGAGUCGUCGUGACUCACAGAUUCUACCAAAACAGUUGCAGGUGCCGACGAUACCAGUGCAGCUGACGCAACCGAGCUCAAGUGGGAGUUCGACGAGGAACGUGGUCGUUACUAUGUUUCUUUUCCGGAUGAUCAGUAGUGGAGCCCAGUUGGGACGAUCGGGGAUCUAGCAUUUGGGGUUAUCUUAUUUUCAUUUGGAUUUGACCGUAAUCGGUCUAUGUGUGGAUUUUGGAUGAUGUAUGAAUUAAUUUUAUGUAUUGUGUGAAGUGGCGAUUGUAAGCCAACUCUCGUUAUCCCAUUCUUGUUCAUUACGUGGGAUAGUGUGAAGAUAACCCUUCUUGCGACAGUACCACAAUGCGGUUAUGCCUCUAAGUCGUGCCUCAACACGUGGGAGAUAUAGCCGCAUCGUGGGCGUUACAAGUUGGUAAUCAGAGCCAUCCCCGACUUAGGAGCCCCCUGCUUGAUCGAAUCGCUGGCGUUAUUGAGUUUAGAACAAAAAUGUUUUGGAGUCUUAGGAUUUUAUAUAUCAGAGAGUAGGAUUCUUUUUACUCCUCAGUUCCUUCAUCGCUCUGGUGAGGCCUCCUGACGUAGAAGUUUUGACUCUUCUCUCCUCAAAUUUCACUAAAAAAAAAUUUUAGGAUCACGCGGGUAUCUUGGAAUCGUUCCGAUGGUUUUGUGACGAGAACAUUGUUCUUGGUGCCUCCUGACAUUUAG